This 78251-nucleotide long non-coding RNA is filed under the name Citrus maxima (pomelo). RNAcentral's name for it is "long non-coding RNA (CMAX_LNC001309)". The stretch from base 7818 to 7924 matches the Rfam family "Plant small nucleolar RNA R71". The record is from RNAcentral. Lineage: Eukaryota; Viridiplantae; Streptophyta; Magnoliopsida; Sapindales; Rutaceae.
UUUAUGUGACGGCUAGACUGCUCUCACUUAUGUUACUAACCACGUGACGGUAGAGAGCCAAUUGGCAUACUAUUAUUUUGACGGUAGAGUUAUAAAUUUGUUUCUAAAUAGAAAACUAUUUGCUGGAGUCAAUAUUUUGAAGACCAAAGUCCCAAAUUCUCUCUCGUGCCUGGCCAGCAUCCUAAACCUUACUGGUAGCCGGAGAAUGGCGUAAAACGGCGGCGAUCUUCUUCUUCAUCUUAUUCUCUCUCUCAUCGUUUCAGGUAAGCUUGUGAUUAUGAGUUUCUUCGCUUUCUUAGCUUGUAAUUAUAGGUUUUGAUUUCUUUAAUUCGUUUUGUAGCCAUUAAUGUCAAUUUUUGUCCCACCGGCAAUGUUUUUUGUUCCUAGAAGUUGAAGCCCUUCUGUUCUUGUGCCAUUGGUGAGUUUGCUCACUCAAAUUAAUUUUGUUCUGCGGAGUUUACAAAGUUCAAAUGGACUCAUUUGGAUUACUAUUGAAUUUAGCUUUAAUUCCAACAUCCAUUCUAAUGUUUUGCCAUUAGAUUUACUUUAAUUUUAUCUUUAAAGCUUCUACAAUGAAUAGCGGAGCUUGGGUUUUAGUUUCAAUUUCUAAUUAACUUGUUUUAGUUUAUCUUAUAUGCUCGCCAAGUGCUUGUUAUAUUGUCUGAUAAGUUAUAUAACAUUGCUGAUUCUAUAUUAGUAAUGUCAUGUUCCAUUUUCGGAAAUUAUAACACAAAAGUUUUUACAAUGGCUUGCAUCUACAAACUGAAUUGACUUGUAGAGUAAGAGCUUGGAUUAGUGUUAUGUUCUUGAAUAAAUGAAAGUUCAUAUUGUGUAAGAGCAUGUAGAUGUAAAGCAUCACUACCAUUUCUACAAACUGCUUUCAUUCUGUUCAGAUGCUCCUCUUGAACUUUGAAAGGUGCCUCAUUCAAGUCCUAGCUGUAACUACUAGCUCUGAUUGCUUAAGUUCCUGUGCUAGCUGAAACAGAUUUAUUUAAUUAAUUAAUUGUGUAUGUACUAAUUAUAUUGAACGUAUAUGAAGAAAUUGUUUAACAUGAAUGACUUCUAAAUGACUUAAAAGCCUAAAGGAUAUGUGAAAUAAUGCUCAUUUCACUUGAACGAGCCUAUUAAUACUUGUAUGUCUGAUGGUUGUCGAAGCCAACAAAAAUAAAUUCAUACUCUAAAUAAAUUGUGUAUAGUGAUUGAGCAAGGUCAUGUCCACAGAGAUCGGUAAUUAUUUAAAUCCUUUUGAAACGUAAAACGUAAAAUGGGGGAAUUGUUGACAAUAAUAAAAAUCAAAUUAAAAUAACAAGAAUGCAAAUUAAAGUUGUAAUUCAAAUUAGAGAAAGCUCUGGUUGAAGGAAUUAAUUCAGCUUGAUUCGACUACUGAUCAUUGAUUCAAAUAUAGAUUAUUAUUACUUAUGAAUAGACCGGUUAUAGCUACUGAGACCCUCUAAUAGCCAAUCUCUCCUUAACUAGUCGAUAACCAAGGUACGACUGUUGGUUAUUUCCCUAAUCAAUAGACAACCCUAGAUACGAUCAUAGGAUUUAAUCAAUUGACAGCCUGAAAAACCAGAGAGACCCAAAUCCUAAUCAACACAUACGAUGAUUCAUUUAAAUUAGAUUGUUUAUUCUCACAACACAACUCUCUGCUAUGUUAUUUGUCACAAACAUUAAAUUCUUCAUACGAUGAAUCCUUUAAUUGACAAUAGAUUAAGUUGAUAAUUAAAUAGUGGCCAAUUACCUAAUUAACAAACAUAAUCAUGAAAAUAAUUCAGAGAAUAAACAAAUACCCAAAAAGUAAUAAAACAAUUAAAGCAUAAAAUAGAUCUCACAAUAGUGAUGAAUCAAAGCUUCAUUAUCCUUCAACCAGAAAAAUAUAUUUAGUUCUUCAUAGAGAGAAGAGAAAAGUUUAGAUCUAGGGUUUCUUUCUCUUCUCUUCAAAAGUCCCAUUUUUCACAAUAGAUUCCUCUCUUAAAUACUCUCUCUCUCUUCUCCUCUAGAAUUCUAUUUAAAAUAAAAUACUAAUAUAUGAAAUAUUAAAUUCGUAAUUACAAAAAUAACCAAAAAUACAAAACACGUUAAACUAAAAACUGUAGGUCCGUAGUUGCAGCACGCGCCCACGCGUUAUCAACAAAGUUCUUCUGACGCUCAUAAUUUCUCCAAGAAAGCAAUCAUCUUUAAACAUCAUCUUAUAGCUCAAUUUUAUCACAAAUCAAUAGAAUUGCACCUACAAAAGUAAAACACAAGUAAAUUAUCAUUAUUAAGUGCAAAACAUCAAUAUUAAGGGAAGUAAACAAUGCAAAACUAGUGCAUAAAUUGCACUCUAACAAAUUCCCCCACACAAAGAUGAUGCUUGUCCUCAAGCAUAUAACUCAAGACUAAUCCCAAAUCUCCACUCAAUUCUCAUCUCAACUCAUCCAAAAACAAUUUUAAGCAAGUAUACCUCAAGAAAUUAAGUCGAUCAACAUUCGAGAGACAAGGAUUUUAAAGCAUAGAAUCUCAUAAGAUAGAAUAAGAACAUUCAACCACCAAGAAGAUCCAUUCAAAAUUCAAGUGCAACAAGAUUUAAUAGCCCUCUCAUUGACCUCACUCCAUGCACUCAAAGUGUUUAGGGUGUCAUUUAUUCACUCAAAUCAAAUCAAAGAAUGUUAUUACCAUAAACUUGCUUAUAUAUCACAUCUCAAUCCACAAAACAUGAAUUAAAUGCAAAAAUCUAAGGGUCUUAAAAGGUUGUAACGGGGUUAAAUGGGUUAAAUGAAAAAGAAAAGUUUAUGAAAGAAAAAGAGAUCAAAAUGAGAAGAAUGAACUCAUUGAACGAACUUUAUGAUAUCGAAACGCUUAUUUCUACACAAGUCACCAAGAAUGUAAACAUUUUUUUUUCUUUUUCUUUUUUUUUUUCAAUUUUUUUUUUCGAUUUUUCUUUUUCUUUUUCUUUUUUUUUUUGAAUCAAACAAAAGAAACGAACCUUGCACAAUUUAAUUCAGGCAUAAUGCUUGUUGAUCUAAUUGAGAAACUUUAAUACAAGGUAGAAAAAGCAACAAAAUAUAUACAAAAUAUAUCCACACAAUGAGUCCAAAAAUCUCCUUAAAUUGAGGCUCAAAAAGAAGAAAAAUGGUUAAGUAGACGGAGAGAAUUAGAUGGGUAAUGGUUAAGGCUCAAACAAAGAUAGUAAAUCAAGGUCUUCGGGUAGAGAAAAAAAAAUGCGAGAAUAGAAAAAUGGUAAAUGGUUUGCCCUUAUCAUUUUAAUGCAAAAAAUCCGUAAUGUGGCUUCAACAUGCAUAACAAAGCAAGUUCUAGAAUAAACAAACUAAGAUUGAUAUUCACAUAACAAAAAUAAUAGAGCAAAGUGGUUGCUCAUAGGCUCAAAUCCUCACAAAGUUGGUAAAUUUGCCAUCAAAUCAUGUGCACUCUUCAAAUGAAUCAACCAUCAAUAGUGGUGUAGAAUGAGAAGAAGGUAUGAUUGAGAUAUGAAAGGAAAGGUAAAAAGGAUAAUAAGCGAGAAAGAUGUAUGUAGUAAAAAAAAUGAAUGAUAAAAUGUGAGUGAUGAAAGAGUAUGAUAGAAUAAAAAUAUAUGUAAAUAAUUUGAGGUAGAUGGGAAAAGAGUAGUGAGAGAGAAAGGAAAAGAAAAUUAAUAAUAUAUGAAGCAUACUAACUCCAAAAUCAUUUAAGGAUGAGUAGAGUGAAAAUAAUAAUUCCAAACAUCAAUAAUGUAAAAAAAUCCCUCCCCCACACCAAGAACUUACAUUGUCCUCAAUGUAAGAUAAUCAAAGCUCACAUAAAAAUUAAAGCGUAAGGAUAAAAGAUUAAAGACAAAAAAAAAAAAAAACUUCCCUGAAUUAUGAGCUUUGAUCCACAUAACGUCUAUGGGCUUGGCAGAAAUGGUGGGGUAAAUCCCACACUCUCGAAGUAUGCGGCCAAAUUCUGCUCCAUCUUGUUCAGCUUGUGCUCCAUUUUCUCUAACUGAAUGCUCAAAGGUGGUGCGGAUGUAGAAGGAAUAGUUGGCGGGGCAGCAGUGUCGUCGUCAAACUCGUCAUCAGAGGUAGCACCACUCCUAGCAUAAAGCUUCUUCGGAGGUUGAGUGGGUCCUGGUUCAGUAAAAUGAAAUCUCCCCUCCUUGAAUUCGACCAUACCUGUUCUUUCAAACACAGACAUAUCCAAAAAUUCCUUUUUGCAAGCAGGAUGCAAAUCAUUAUUGUCAGGAUCAAGCACACAUAGGUUUAUAGCUAACAGAGUAAUGUAUGGACCAAGAAAUAAAGUUCUAUACCGUUUAAGCACACUUUGAAAUUGAUCCGCUAACCAAAAACCUAAAUUAGGCCUCACAUCAUUUAACAUGCACCAGAUAAAAUAACAUUCAGUUUUAGAGAAAACUCCUGAGUGAUCUUUCUUACCGAAAAAAUUAUAUGCUAAGAAUCGAUGCACACAUUUCAAAACAGGAUCACGUAAGAAAGAACUCUUUGAUUUACUCGGGUCAUAGGCAUUGUGAUCAAUAGAUAAAUUACGCCAAAGACCAUAAGGCUCAAAAUUUUCGCUAAAGUCACAAGUUGUUCCUAAAUAUGCAUCACUAGAAGAAUAAUCAUCAUCAAUGAAUCCUAAAGCUAGGUUAAAAUCCGUGAUAGAGUGUAAAAAAUUUCGUCCCAUUAACCUAAACUUAAUGACAUCCGGGGUAUGCAAAGUAAAAUCAUUCGGCAUAUUAAAUUGAAAAGUAGCAUAAAACUUCCUAAUCAACUCAACAUAACCCAAACAAUCAACAUCAACAAACUUAUGUGACCCAAUCUUAUCUAUCAAAGAAUCAAAAUUAUCCUUAACAUUCAAUUUUUCAAGAGUCGGGUAAUGAAUAUACUUAGCUGGAAGUAUUUUGCGCGUGGAAAUAUCUUUGUACCUCUCUUUCUCUUGUUGAGUCGCGAAUGCGAGGCACUCUUUGAGAUUGGAUUCCGCAAGUGGCAAAACACUCAUGCCUUUUCCAUGUUUCGAUCUUUGUCUCACGGCUUGGCGUGAAUAUGAAAUUGUGUUCCAUGGAACCGUAGUGGGAGCGGCAAUCUUAGAUUUCUUUGCGACGAGUGUCUUUUUAGAUGACUUGGAAGUAGAUGCUUUCCUCUUCGGCAUUGUUACAAUAAUUGCACUCACGGAUUUCGAUUUACCUGGCUGGAAUACAGGGCGUAGGUUGGAUCUGCGUUGCGUUGCUGCUUGGCUGGAGCUUGCUGCGCAGGUUGGGGCUGGUUGCGCGCUGCUGCUGGUUGUGUUGCGCGCUGCUGCUGGUUGUGUUGCGUGAUGCUGCGCGCUGCGGGUGGAAUUGGUUGCGCGCUGCUGGGGCUGGAUUCGGGUUGCGCGCGGGGGCUGGGGAUGCUGGUGCGCGCUGCGGGUGGGACUAAUGCGCUGCGCUGAGGCUAAUUCGCGUUGCUGGGGCUGCGUUGUGGGAUGCUGGUGCUGUGUUGCGUUGCGCGCGGCUGCUGCUGCUGCAUGGCUGCGGCUGCUGCUGCUGCGGGUGAAAACGAUAAUCAACAGUGAAUUUUUAUUUUAUUUUUUUGAAUUAGGGAUUUAUGAACAGUGAUUUGUGAUUUUUGUUUUUUUUUUGUUUUUUUUAAAUAAAAAAAAUAUGUAUAUAUAAAAGAAAGAAAAGAAGGAAAAAAAAUAAUAUUUUUUUUUUUGUGAUGAAUCACUUUGAGACACUAAAAAUUUCAGAAGUACUUUUCUAAUAAGCACGUGGGCACGCCUUAAAACCAUUUUAUUUUAAAAAUCACAGAAGUACUUAUUAGUUAAGACGUGGGCACGCCUUAUCAAAAAUUUUCUUCUGACCAAAAUAAGCAAACACAUUAAAAAAAAAUGAAUCAAAAUUAAAAGAAGAUAUAACAAAAACCAAAAUAAAUAAAUCAUUUGGGUUGCCUCCCAAAAAGCGUCUUUGUUUUAUGUCUUUGGCUAGACACAUUUAUGCAUCAAUCUCCAUAAUUGGGACUCUCGAGAGCCACAUCCUCCACAAUAUUCACAAAAAAACCUUCAUAAAAAGGUUUUAAGCGAUGACCAUUAACCUUAAAAAUUUUGUCAGAGGUCGGACUUCGAAUCUCAACUGCACCAUGAGGGAAAACAUUAGUAACAAUAAAAGGUCCAACCCAGCAAGAACGUAAUUUACCCGGAAAAAGUUUAAGCUUAGAAUGAAAAAGAAGAACUUUUUGACCAACAGAGAACUCCUUUCUCAAAAUCAUUCUAUCAUGAAAUGUCUUCGUUUUUUCCUUGUAAAUAACUUCCUGCACUAUAGGGUUAAUAACAUCCACAGAAAAUACCGAAUGUUCCUCACUAGGAUAUUUCAUGGCAUCAUUCAUAUUGAAUUCUAUAACCUCUCCAUCAAACUCCAUAGUGAGAGUCCCUUUAUGUACAUCCAUUUUAGUCCUAGCAGUCUUAAGAAAAGGUCUUCCUAGCAAAAUUGGGACAAAAUUGGAGGAGUUAUCCUCUUCCAUAUCAAGUGCAUAAAAAUCAGCAGGAAAAACCAACUCAUUAACUUGUACUAAGACAUCUUCUAAUACCCCAUCAGGAUAUGCAUUAGACCUAUCAACUAGUUGAAUUAUCACGCCAGUUUCUUUUAAUGGACCAACAUUCAAAGAUGAAUAAAUGGAACGAGGCAUGACAUUAAUAGAAGCUCCUAGAUCUAACAAAGCCUUUUCAAUUCUAACACUACCAAUUUUACAAGGGAUAGUAAACAUACCUGGAUCCUUGCACUUAGAGGUAGUUUCUUUUGGAGAACUGCUGAAACAUUCUCCCCCAUGUGAACUUUUUCAUCUCCUCUUAAUUUUCUCUUAGAGGUGCACAGUUCCUUAAGGACUUUAGCAUAUCGAGGUAUUUGUUUUAUAGCAUCUAAUAAAGGAAUAUUUACCUCAACCUUGCGAAAUGUCUCAAGGAUGUCUUUCUCUUGUUCCUCCUUCUUGGAUAUUGCAAACCGGCUUGGAAAAGGAGGAGGUAUCACAAUAGGUAGGGGUUUCGCUCUGGUGGGUUGCGCAUCUUGAGAUUUAGGCAUCAAUUCAUUCUUCUCAAGCUCAUCUUCUACAUGCUUUGUCACUUUCUUACUAGGCUCUUGCAACUCCUUCCCACUUCUAAGGAUGACAGCACUAACGUUUUUCUUUGGAUUCACCUCAGAUUGUGAAGGCAAUCUCCCUAAUACUUGAGACUCCAGAAGGCUCACUGUAGUCGCCAAUUGACUCAUUUGGUUCUCCAAAUUCUGAAUGCUUGUUGUAGUUGCCUGCUGAAAUUGUUGAGUGUUAGUCGCAAGUGAUUUAACAAUUUCUUCAAGAGAUAUACCUGACUUAGAGUUUGAUUGUGGAGGUGCUGGUUGUCUUGGUGGAUACUAUUGUGGGAAUCCUGACGGCCUAACUCCAUAGCUGAAGUUGGGGUGAUCCUUCCAUCCCGGAUUGUAUGUUUAUGCAUAAGGAUCAUACCUCCUCUGAGGCAUGCCUGGAAAUCCUCCAACUGCAUUGGUUUGUUCAACGGGUUCUUCUUGAAGUGUAGGACACAUAUCAGUUGAAUGACCCAUAUUGUAACAAAUGCCACAAGUCUUCACCUGUUGCACAUUACCUACAACAAACUUUUCCACAAGAGAAGUAAGUUUAUCUAAACUUUGUCCAAUAGAAGAAAUAUUUACCUCAUUUACCUUCCUUGAAGUGAGAUCUUGCCUGCUGCCAAAUUGUUGUGCGUUGGCAGCCAUAUUUGAUAUCAGCUCCUUUGCUUGAGUAGGGGUCUUGUUCACCAACACGCCUCCACUAGCAGCAUCUAUCAUACUCCUAUCCAUCAAUGACAGUCCUUCGUAAAAAUAUUGAAUAAGAUGUUGAUCAGAAAUCUGAUGCUGAGGACAGCUGGCACACAAUUGUUUGAAUCGCUCCCAAUACUCAUACAAAGUCUCCCCAGGAAGUUGUCUGAUCCCACAAAUGUCUUUUCUGAUGUUAGCAGCUCUUGAAGCAGGAAAGUAAUUCUCGAGGAAUUGCUUGUUCAAACCAUUCCACGUUGUAAUUGAUCCAGGAGGCAAGUAGUACAACCAGUCUUUAGCUAGUCCAUCUAAAGAGAAAGGAAAAACACGCAGCUUAAUCUGCUCUUCAGUCACGCCUUGUGGUCUCAUACUUGAACACACAACAUGAAACUCCUUAAGAUGUUUAUGAGGAUCUGCACCUGCAAAACCAUGAAACUUGGGUAAUAAAUGAAUAAGACCAGACUUUAAUUCAAAAUUUACCUCCAAGUCUACAUAUUGAAUGCAGAGUGGUUGUUGACUCAAGUCUGGUUCAGCUAACUCUCUAAGAGUUCUUUCUACAGGUGCAGGUCUAUCUAUCAUUUGUUCUUCUGAAUCGCUAGAUGAUUCAACUAAAUCAGGCACUGUAUCUAUUUCAGAAAGCAAAGGCGACGAGGAUCGUUACUUAGCUCGCUUCGUCUGCUGUCUCAGCUGGCGAGCUGUCUUCUCAAUUUCAGGAUCAAACGAAAGUGUACCUGUACGAGAAGAACGAACCAUACACCAAGUAAAACGUAAAAAGGAUUAAAUAAAUGACACCAAUCCCCGACAACGGCGCCAAAAUUUGAUGGUUGUCGAAGCCAACAAAAAUAAAUUCCUACUCUAAAUAAAUUGUGUAUAGUGAUUGAGCAGGGUCGUGUCCACAGAGAUCGGUAUUUAAAUCCUUUUGAAACGUAAAACGUAAAAUGGAAGAAUUGUUGAUAAUAAUAAAAAUCAAAUUAAAAUAACAAGAAUGAAAAUUAAAGUUGUAAUUCAAAUUAGAGAAAGCUCUGGUUGAAGGAAUUAAGUCAGCUUGAUUCGACUACUGAUCAUUGAUUCAAAUAUAGAUUAUUAUUACUUAUGAAUAGACCGGUUAUAGCUACUGAGACCCUCUAAUAGCCAAUCUCACCUUAACUAGUCGAUAACCAAGGUACGACCGUUGGUUAUUUCCCUAAUCAAUAGACAACCCUAGAUACGAUCAUAGGAUUUAAUCAAUUGACAGCCUGAAAAACCAGAGAGACCCAAAUUCUAAUCAACACAUACGAUGAUUAAUUUAAAUUAGAUUGUUUAUUAUCACAACACAACUCUCUGCUAUGUUAUUUGUCACAAACAUUAAAUUUUUCAUACGAUGAAUCCUUUAAUUGACAAUAGAUUAAGUUGAUAAUUAAAUAGUGGCCAAUUACCUAAUUAACAAACAUAAUCAUGAAAAUAAUUCAGAGAAUAAACAAAUACCCAAAAAGCAAUAAAACAAUUAAAGCAUAAAAUAGAUCUCACAGAAGUGAUGAAUCAAAGCUUCAUUAUCCUUCAACCAGAAAAAUAGGUUUAGUUCUUCAUAGAGAGAAGAGAAAAGUUUAGAUCUAGGGUUUCUUUCUCUUCUCUCCAAAAGUCCCCUUUUUCACAAUAGAUUCCUCUCUUAAAUACUCUCUCUCUCUUCUCCUCUAGAAUUCUAUUUAAAAUAAAAUACUAAUAUCUGAAAUAUUAAAUUCGUAAUUACAAAAAUAACCAAAAAUACAAAACACGUUAAACUAAAAACUGUAGGUCCGUAGUUGACAGCACGCGCCCACGCCUUAUCAACAAAGUUCUUCUGACGCUCAUAAUUUCUCCAAGAGAACAAUCAUCUUUAAACAUCAUCUUAUAGCUCAAUUUUAUCACAAAUCAAUAGAAUUGCAUCUACAAAAGUAAAACACAAGUAAAUCAUCAUUAUUAAGUGCAAAACAUCGAUAUUAAGGGAAGUAAACAAUGCAAAACUAGUGCAUAAAUUGCACUCUAACAAUGUCUAUGAUUGUCAAUCUUGCUUUAAGUGUUUCAGUUAAGUGGUUUACCUAACAGGGAAAAAAAUUUAAUGGAAAACUUUAGAGUUCUAACAGAAAUAUAGUUGACUGCAGAUAUAGCUAUUUUGCAGUACAUAAAUUAUGUUGUCCUAUUCUCAAUGUCCUACGACCUAUUUUAUUUUAUAUGGUCAUUCAUUUUUGCGAUGGUUUUUUGUGCUUAUGAGUAUGGAAAUAGUGGGAUUUGGUGUGGCAAACAAAAAUAUACAUAUAAUCAAGUUUCUUAAUCAUGUAUAUUGGUUUUGGGUAUGAAUGUUUUCCUAUUCUAGUUCUAGGCAAAGUUUCUUCAUUUUGGUCUUCAGAUUUCCAGUAGGUUAAGUUAAGCAACUAUCAUAACUAGCUAGCUAGUUAUUGCCUGCCUUGUCGCCAUUACAUUGCAUGGCAUAAGGAAUAGUAACUAGGUGAUUAUUGGUGAUUCGUUGAGUUUAUUAUUGGCCAAACUAACAUAUUCGCCUUUACCCACAACUUAGUUUGAUUAGAUAUUAGAUAAUAAAGAGCCUUAAUCUAUGCAUUGCUUUAUUAUUUUUAUUUGGUUUUUCUUUCAACAAUAUUGUUGAUUUCUUAUAAAAAAUAUUCAUUGGUUUUUAAACACCUAAUCAUUGGCUAUGAUGAAGCUAAUUAAAACGAAGGCUUUGGAUCAAUUUCUUCUAACAACAUACAAAUGAGCAUAACCACCCCCUCCCCCCGAACCCAAAAAAAAAAAAAAAAAAAGGAAGACUUUGCAAGAUUCACAACCAGGUUACAUUUAAUUUAUUAAUUGUGUGUACGUACUAGUUAUUUGUUGAUAGAAUAGGAAGAAGUAUUUUAAUAUGAAUGACUUAAAACUUGUUGCUCAGUAAACAUAAUGUGCAUCAGUGCUAGAAAAUGUAUUUAUUGUUUGUAAUUUUUUAUGGUUUUGCUUAAGAAAUGAAAUGUGAAAAAAUGCUACAUUGUAUUAGGAAUAAAUUGAAGAGAUUUAUGAUUUUUAUGUGUUAUUCAAGUUUCAGAUUCAAUUUUAAACUUUUGAUACAUGCAUUGAAAGCUUAAACUCCUUUAAGAAAUUAUUAAUAGACACAUGUUUUAUUAGUGUCAUCUUUUGGAUGAUAGUGAGGAUCUUAUGUCUAUUAAUAAUUCUUGAAUUAUCUAGGCUUGGACAGUUUGGUAAUGCAUAGUUUUCUAUGGUAGCUAGUGCCUGAAAUUUUUUUCCCACGUAAAAAUGGGUUUUUCAGCAGCUGCUCCUCAUGUUCUCUGGGUGCAUACUAGACAAAUGGGUGUCAUGUGUUGUUUUGGCAUAACACAUAAACACUCAUAUAUCUAUGUCGCGUACUUGAAGAACUAUAGGGAGAUGCUUCCGAAGUUUCUAUAAACGUAGAGGAAAACUUUAGAUACUUAAGAUUGAAGAAACUUAUGCAUUCUUGAGUGGGAUAUAUAGGACCACUUACCUUUUGUAAAUAUGAAGGGAAUGUUGGAUAUAUUGAUGGGAGUGGAGGAGCUGAGUGGGAUGAAUGUAAUCGGUUAUGAUUUUGCUGAGUCGACUUGGUUUUGAGUCUUGUAAUUUUGUUUAUAAAUGGAGUACUAUCUCCAAUGUUGGUUUAUAAAUAUGUUUCAGCUGGCUGACCUAAUUUUUUGUUUCUAGGUAACAGGCUUUAUAUAUCUGUAAUUGAUAGCCAAGUGAAGUUCUCAGCAGUGGGUAACAGGCUUUACAGAAGAAUACUAUAAAUAAUUCUUGAAUUAUCUAUGCUUAUUGACCAUAGAUCAAAACAAUCUCUUCCUUUUCAACCCCAUCUCUGUCAUUGCUCUGCAUCCGUAUACAUAAAGUGAUAUGAGUCGCACUAGAGUUUUUGCUGUGGAGGAUGUUACUAAGUGUAUCAAUUUCUUGCAACCGAAAGCUACAAGUUUUGUUAGGUUCCCAAAAGAUACCGAUGAUGAUGGCAAUAGAAUUAACAGACUUUGACAAUAAUAUACUCUUAGAAUUUCAAGAUACUGAAAAAUGGGGGCAAGUUUGGAGUCUUGUUUGCACAGCUGCCUCAGAUGAUAGUGCCGGUGCAGCUUUAAUUCUUUUAUCAUUGCCAACUUCCCCACAUGUUUCUCUCAGCAUCCUUCCUUCGAAAAUUCCUCUUCGUUGAAUGAAAAAUAAACCAGUGCGAGUAUUUCGAGAUUGUGAAAUCUCUCCAGUACGUUCCAGAUUGGAAAACAAGCUGAGUCAUCUCCGGCAAUCUCUAGUUGUUUAAGACUGCCAAAAAGGUGUUGUGGGAAAUCGGCCUGCAAAAUCAUCUUCACAUCUUUUCCACUUAGUGAUAGUUCCUUCAAGUUGGGUACGAUCUGAUCAUCAUCAAUCAUAAUAACUAAUGAGGUCAAUUGAUGUUCUUUCAAAUGAUUUUGAGUAAUCCAAUCACGCAGUGACUUUAUAGUAUUUAUUUUAUAUUAAUUUUACCCCUAAAAAAAUUGAAUUAGUGAUAAAAUUCAUUAUAUGAUUUUUUUAUAUGUUAGUUUUAGAGGUAAUAAAGAAAUUAGGGAAAAAAACGAAAUUAUUUUAUUGCACGAUAGUAGACUCUUGCUUCUCAGUGCCUUUGCCACUGUAGUCAAGGCAAUGGGCAAACCUCCACACAACCUGGCGACGUCUGUUGCUGUAGAUUCCAACUCACGAUUUUCAACAUCAUCACCGGCCAUCAUCUUAAACAAUCUCCAGGCUUCUUCUUCAUUUAAAUUGUUAAUCAAGAAGUUGUCUUUAGAUCCCAUUUUUAAGAGGACGCCACGAUCUCUUGCUGUCAGCAGUAGUUUGCAGCCUUUAUGAUCUUCUCCAAAAGGAAUUCCAACUGUCUCCAAGUCAAGGUGCUUCCAGAUGUUAUCUAAAACCACAAGGAUCUUCUUCUCAUUUCUCAAUCGCUCAAAUAGUUUACAUGCUCUUCUAGAUUCAACUUCCUCGUGCAACUCCAGGCCCAACUUCUCGGCAAUUUCCUGUUGAAUCCUUUUUAUGUCUGGAAUUUGGGAAACCUCUGAAAAGACCACCAUAUCAAAGAGCUCGUCUUCCAUAGCUUGCCUGGCGACCUUCUUCACCAGUGUCGUCUUUCCAAUGCCGCCCAUGCCGUACACCCCAAUGAUGCUGACACUAACAUCGAUCAAUGCGUUUUUUACAACUGACUUCAUCAACAAAGCUUUUGUGAAUAUGCGUUACAUUACAACUGCGAUAUCCUUUCACUGUAUAUUCAUACAGUGGCAGGCCAUGUGACGUUGUGACCCAUGUGCUAGCUUUCACUAUUCAUAUUAUUUUUUUACACGGUGUUUAACAAAAUCUUCACGUAAAGAUUUCAGACGCGUGAUCCUAAUUCAGUAUGCAUUAUUUAUUUAUAAAAUGAAAAUAAAAAGAUAAAAGGAUGUGACUUAACUUGCUAUCAGUGCGGAUCCAGGACUUAAUAUUAUUUCGGGUUAAAUUUUAUAUUUUAAAAUUUAUAUUUUGAAGUGAACAUAAAAAUUUAUAAGUAGAAAGAAGUAUAUUAAAUGAGGGGAGAUAUGGAGAGCUUUAUCCCUAUGAAUAUGUAUUAUAAACGAAAAUAAUUGUAAGAAAAGAGUAGAAACCAAAAGGCAAUUCAAAUAUCAAAACAUUAUUUUUCAAUUAUGGAAUCCGAUAUUGCAACCUAUAAUAACAUGUAAUUAUAUAAGGAUUAAUAAAUCAAUUAAGAAUUUCAAACUAAAUUAGAUCAGUACAUGUGAUUAAAAUUAAUUAAAGAUUACAAGUAAAACUUUUUUGUUUGAAGUCAAGUACUAAAUUACCAAGCUUAAAUAAAUUUAAAAAAUUAAAAUUCAUUCAUUCUUUCGAAUUAUAAAAGUAUUAUUAAUAAAAAAUUUAGUAAUAAACUAAAUUCAAUUCAACAAAAAGUUAUUUGGAUAUCGUUGUUUCAUUGCCAGUGCACUAACUUUCUUUAUAGAAGUAGAUGUUGAUGAUUCUUCUAUUAAAGUUCCUCAAAAUACCUAAAUUUUAUUUUCUAACUUCUUCUCGUAGUUAAUGUAACUAAUAAAUAGAAUCUAAAAAAUCACAUAAAAUGUUUAUGAAAAUGUUGAUAAUUGUUACUAUUUAUUGUUUUCGUAAGUACUUUUAAUGCUAGUGACGAUGUUAUAUUACAUUGAUUUAUAUUUUUUUUCAAUUAGAAGUUUUUUAAAAUAAAUUAAAGCGAUAAUAAUACUUUAGCUCCUAAUGUUUUCAAUCUAUCCACUAAGUAUAUAAUUUAAUCAUUUUAUAAAAUAAGUCACUAAUUUCAAUUGGAAAUAAUACAAUUUAAUUAGGGAUAUAUUUGAAUAUAAAAUAAUAGCCCAAUUGUUAUACUAAAUUGAUGAAAAUAUAAGGGUAAUUGAGUUAGGGAAAUAUUUGAAUAUAAAGUAAAAACUCUAUUGUUAAACUAAAUUGAUGAAAACAUAAGGAUACUUGAGUUAGGGACAUAUAUGAAAACAAAAUAAAAACUCUAUUUUUAUAAAAAAAUUAUAAGAAAACAAGGUGUAUAAAUGAUUUUUUCUGUGCUAGACCAAGCUACAACCCAGUCUAGCCCAACUGUAGGUCCGCCACUACUUGCUAUUUACAUACAGACAUGUAGCCCUUAUUCUAAUAUCUAUAGGAAAAGACACUUAUACUCCAAGAUUUGAAGAAAUGGUCACGUAGAUCUCUAAGUUUUCAGUAACCAAAAUUUCUUUUUGACUAUAAUACUUUUUGUACAUAGUAAAUAAAAAAUGACUUUAAGAUUUUUUUUAAUAAAUAUAAAUAUAACUUAAAUAGUUUAAUCUGUCUAAUAGACUAAUAAUAUUAGAAUAUUUUUAAUAUAUAAAAUAUUUUUUAAAUAAAAACAUUAUAUUUAUUUUAAUAAUAUAUUUUUAUUUAUCAUAAAAAUAUCAAAUAAAUCAUUGGGGUUAAAUAGAAUUUAAAAUUAAUAAAACACAUCUCAUUAAUAAAAUAUAUCUCAUGUAGUAAUAAUAUUGAAAUUAUUUUAUAUAAUAUUUAAAAAAUUUAUAAAAUUUAUAAAAUUUAUAAAAUUUAUUUUAAUAUUAUGUUCUUAUUUAUUAUAAAAUUUAGUCUAAUAUAAUAUAAGAUUGUUAAGUAUAUAAAUAUUUUCCUAAAUUGAAGUUGUUUUAAAAUGUUAAUAUUUUAUGUUUAUUUCAAUAUUAUAUUUCUAUUUAUUAUAAAACAUAGGAGUCAAUUUUUUUGAGUUAAUAGAGUCAAAUGUAUUAUAGUCGAAAGAGGUAUUGGUAUUCCUUAUUAAAAAUUUAGGGGUCUACAUGACUAUUUGCCAAACCUUAGGUGUAACGUCCUUUUCUCCAAAAUUGAUUCUCUAUAGGUAUUUCAUGAAGGAAAAUGAUAUUUACAAUGAAUCAAACCCCGGACUAGUUAAAAUGCAUUAUUUCAGCUUAAAUAAUGGUAAAUAUUUGUUCAGUCUCUAUAUUUUGAAUUAAGUACCGUUUAGUCCCUCAAGACACCUUUGUCAGUAAGCACAAUAUAAUCCUACCCUUACUUUUUCUUUGAUUUUAUAAUAACAUGCUUGCAACAAUAUUCUUAGAUAUGUUAAUGUAAAGAAAAAUUUAAAUUUAUCAAAUCAGCCUUAAAAGUAAAAUACAAAUUAGUUGUUAUUAUUAUUAAUAAAAUAAUAAAAUAAUAAAAUAAUAAAAUAAUAAUAACAAUAAUUAACAUUAAUUAAAAUAAUAAAGUUAAUAUAUUAUAUAACAAAAAAAACAAUAUUUACAUUUAUCAAAUUUUCAUGUGUUUAAAAAAAAUUAUGUGAUAUUACAUUAUUAUCUUUACACAAUCAAUCAUUUUUAUGAUCAAGUUAGGCUAAUGGAUCAAGCUUUAAAAAAUUUAAAACAAUAGGAGUUAUAUAAAUAAAUAUUUAAAAAAUUUUGUUUUAUGAUAUUAUAAUAAACAGUAAAGAUUUAAGUCUUAAUAACCAAUUGAACACAUCUCAACCGUUGACAGUAGCGGCUCGACCUCUAGGCAACUUAAGCGGUUGUCUAGAGCCCCGCUUUACAUUAAGGUCCUAUGAAAUGAUUAUUUUGUAUAUAAAAGGGAAAAGUGAAUUUAAAAGUCAUUACUAUGCAUUUAAUUUGUUAUUAUUUUGUAAUUAUCUUUUUCUAAAUAAACUAUCAAAUUCCUAUAAAGUUUAUUUAAUGUAGUACUUAGUAGUUUUAAUUCCUACAAAACCGAUAAAUUAAUAGUUUCAAUCCUACAAAUUCUCUAUUUAAUUGUUAGAAUUAAUAUGUUAUAAUUAAAAAGUUUUAUAUUCAUUUUAAACCUCUAUAAAAGCCCCACAUUUUAUUACUUAUCUAUUAAAUUUUUCCUCUAAUAAUCAAGACACGAUAUGUUGUUAGUGUUUGAGAGAAAGAAAGACAGAGAUGGAAAAAAUCAUGCUUCCUCUACUUUCCACUCAAGAAGAAAAAAAAAAAUCUAAUAAUUUUCUCUAUACUCUAUGGCUAUUGGUCAUUACUUAAAUCCUCAAAUAAUUAAUAUAAAUAUAAAGUUAAUUCAUGAUUUCAUCUCAAAUUCCAGAUUUUAUCUUUUUAUUAUUCUCUUAAUUAGUUGUGUUAUUUACUUGUUCUUAUUUUUUUUCAAUAUAUUCUUUUAUUCAUCUACUUUUUUUUGUAUGCUUGUUUUAUCUAUUUUGAAAUAAAAUUAUAUCGAAAAACUUUAGAAAAUAGAAAAAUUAGUUUAAUCUAGAAAAGGAGUAGUAAAAAAGAUGUAAUUUGAGUUGAAGAACAAUAAGUGAAAAUAUUAUAAUUGAAUUAAAAUUUAAUAGAUAACCCUAAUUUUUUUAUAAGAACUAAUUAAAAUCAUUUGCCUAGGGCCCCAAAUAUGGUUGAGUCGGCCCUGACCGUUGAACACUUUAGCUAUUAGAUUCAUCAGUUGAAUUAGAAAAAUAUAAAAUUUGGGGUACCGUGCAACUGUUGCAAGGUAGGCGGACACGUUAUAUUUAAUAUAGAAUAAAUAAACUAAAUAUGUGUAAAGAAUAUAGGUUAUUAACCUUGCAAUACUUCAAAAAAUUAUAAAAUAAAAAAGGUGAAAUUUCAAAAUAAGGAACUGUAAAAAGUAUUAGGUUCUAAAAUUUUAUUAUUUUAAUAUUACAAAACUUUACUUUUUUAUAACAUUUUUGUUUUUAAUAUUAGUUGACAUGUUAGUUUAUUUGUAUAUAAAAUAUGUUAAUUUACCUAUAAAAUACUAAUAUUACUCUUGAAAUUUAAGGAAGCCAUUUUAAUUUUUUAAAAUUUUAAAUGUAGCCCAACAAAGUCAUAGAAAUAUAAAUAAAGAAUAGCAUAAAAGGAAGUUAGUUUAAUUUUUUGAAGAAUACUUCAAAAGCAUUUGAGUUUUAUGUUUCUUGAGAAUUAUACCUUUUUGUUUUUUAGAUAUUUGAGCUUGUGAAUCUUGUUGUAAUGAUAAUUUAUUAUUUAUUCUUGAUUAAAAAUAAUUGAAUAGUAAAUUUAUUGGUUUCUAAUUACUCUUUUAAAUGUAGGGCGAUUGCUUAAUUUUUAUUAUGUUACCCUAAAUUUUUUGAUGAUGGCUAAUCAACCACUGCAAAAGACUCUACCAUGAUUAUUUUUACUUUCUCUACAUCCCUCUAGACCAUCAUCACUCAAAGAAUUAAGAGUCCAUUUGGCAUACUGUAUUAUAUUAUACUGUAUUGCAUUAUUUAAUAUAGGUAUAUUGUAUUAUGUUAUAUUACAUUAGUACUAAAUUAUAAUAAUAUUUGUACAACAUUUGGUAAUUGGUAUUACAUUGUACUGCAUUAAUUUUAUAUUAAUAUUAUACUAACAUUAUUUAAAUUUAUUAUUAAUUAUAUUAAAUUAUUAUUUUUAUAUAAAUAUAAUAUGAUAUAAUAAAAUAAUAUGAUAGUAUAAUUUAAUUUUAUAUUUUUAUUUAUUAUUAUAAUAAAUAAAAAUAUAAUAAAAAUAUAUUUAAUGCUUAAUUAAGGUAAAAUAAUAAUAAUAACAAUAGUAUUACUUUAAACAAAAAAAUCUAUAAAGUUUAAAGAUGAUGAUGAUGAUGUUGACGACAUUAAUAAUAACAUAACAAUUAAAAUAAUAAAACAAAUAAAUUUUAAUGAUAUUAAUAUUAAUAAAAUAAUAAUAACAAUAAUUAAAAUAAUAAAAUUAAUAUAUUUUAAUAAUAGUAAUAAAAAUAAUAUUAAUGACAGUAAUAAAAUUAAUAAAUAAUAAUAAUGACUUAAUUAAAAAUAAUCAUAAUAAUUAAAAUAAUAAAUUUUGAUGAUAAUAAUAAUAAUAUUAUUAUUAUUCUUAUUAAUAUAAUAAUAAUGACAUUAAUAAAUAAUACUAAUAAUAACAGUCAAAUGUUUUUGAAAAACCAUUUUAUCCCAAAAAAAGGGACUUAUAUAUAAAAUUUUGUAACUUCUAAUGUCUAUUCAAUUUUUUCAUAAAAUAUAAGGUAGUGCAGUGUAAUUAAUAAAAAAGACAAAAUUCGGUGGUAUGCUGCAAUUGUUGCAACAUAGUUUCAUCUUUAUUUGUGAUCCUAAAGUUUGAGAUAUGUGAUCCUUAUUCUAUUGUGUCAAUUAUAGUCCAGUCCAAUGCCGCCAUCAUUAUCGAACAGUCGAUAUCCAACACUUGCACGAAGAUUCCAAGAAGUUGUGUGGCUGCCGACUUUUAAAUGCUAAGCCUUAUUGUGUCGAAGAUACACAAAACAGAGCAGUCCAGGUAAUUGCCAAAACUUAGAACUAAACAGUAGCUUAGUCAGAAAAUCAAACAAGUACCAAUAAAAUGACUGAUAAAAAUAUAAAGAAAUCAGUCAAAUCACGAAGAUUGAAGAGUAAAUCAAUGGUUUUAGAUUUUUAUUUUUUUUUUUAGAUAAUAGAUAUUAUUUUGAUGAAUUUUUUAAUAUUAGAAUAAUGUUAGGAAUUCCAAUAGUAGAAUUCUAGCUUAAGACCCAAUUAUUAUGUGUCAUUUUUUUAUUGGAUAAUGAAUUUCAUAACUAAUAAAAUUAAUAUUUCGAUCAUUUAAUAAAUGACUACCAUAUUAGUUGAGACUCAAUUAUUAGGAUCAUUAACAUUGCUCUUAGUAUUAAAUUGGACAUCUUAUCCAAAUCAGAUUAAAAAUCAAAUUAGAUUUUAAGCUUUUAUUCAACAUCUCCUUUUUUUUUUUUUUUUUUGGUCUAUUUGAAGUGAACAAAAUAAAAAUACAUUAGGGUCAACGACUGGGCAAUUGAUAGUCAAGUAUUUUGUUGUUUUUGCUACCUUGAAUUAAAUUUUCUCAAUUAGAUCAACAAGCAUUAAGCUUGAAUUAAAUUAUGCAAGGUUCAUUUCUUUUGUUUGAUGCAAAAAAAGAAAAAAAAGAAAAAAAAAUGUUUACAUUCUUGGCGACUUGAGUAGAAAUAAGCGUUUUGAUAUCAUAAGGUUCAUUCAAUGAGUUCAUUCUUCCCAUUUUGAUCUCUUUUUCUUUCAUAGACAUUUCUUUUUCAUUUAACCCCAUUACAACAUUUCUAAGACCCUUAGAUUUUUGCAUUUAAUUCAUGUUUUAUGGAUUGAGAUGUGAUAUAUGAGCAAGCUCAUGAUAAUAGCAUUCUUUGAUUUGAUUUGAGUGCAUAAAUGAUACCUUAAACACUUUGAGUACAUGGAGUGAAGUUAAUGAGAGGGCUAUUAAAUCUUGUUGCACUUGAAUUUUGAAUGGAUAUUUGAUAACUCUAGGAAAUGAGAGUUAUUACAUCAAUUCUAGACUUGAAUCAAGGUCACUUAGAGAACAAAUAAAGUGUUUUUAUUACAUUUUGGGUACCUUUUUGCAUAAACAUUCAUUUUAGUUGAGUCUAAUAAAUUUUGCUUGAAUCAUAGUAAUUUGUGCUAAAAACAGGUUUUAAAUUGUAGGUUUUAAAUUCGUGAGAGGAUGUUGAGGCAUUAGAAGAGCAAGAGGAGGAAGGAAGUUGGCCACAAAAGAAGUAAAGCACAAUCGGGAAUAAAACAGUAUUGUAGCAGCUGUUAGAGCAACCAGUGCUAUAACAAUCUUGGAGCAAUGCGGGAGAAAACUUAGGCGCGAGUCAGCCACAAAAUCGUGAUCUGCAUGUUUCCUAAUUCAAGCAUAUGCACGCUCAUAGGCUUUGGUUUAACCUAAUUUGCAAUAUAAAAAAGAGGCGUGCAGCACAUAGAAAGGCGGCAAGGAAUUAUCAUAAAAAAUAAUUACAAAGGCAAGAAGAAGGAGAUCAAGAUUAAAGAGUGCUAUUCGGAAACAAAAGGAGAGAGCCGUGCAGAAUUAUUUGCCUUUCAUCGUGCUCAACUUAUAUUUUCUCUUUUUCCUUGAAUUGUUGGGAUGUAUUCCGAGUUCAACAUAUUUGUGUUUAUUUUUCUCAUCCAGAUUAUGAACUAAAUUUACUUGUGGUUGAGUGAAAAAUAAUCCAAUGGGUUCUUGACUAUUCUUUUAUGUUGUUAUGGUAAUGUUGUAGCAUUAUACUCUAGUAGUUUUUAUGAAUACAACUGUUGUUUCGGUUCACCACCCAUUUAAUAGUUUCAGUUAAGAUAGAGCAGCAAAAGGGCAUGUCUUAGCGGACAUUAUUAGAGUAUUACUUGUUCUUAAGUCGAGUUUCCUGGAAUAUGUUAUCUUGAAUCCCAUAAGGGCAAUACUUGAAGUUAAGAUUUGUGACACUCUAGACAUAGGUGUUCACCUUGUAGGGUAGAGAGAUUAAAGGUUAUAAUGCCAUACCAUAAAUAUAUGAGCAACUGGUCAUUGUUAGUAGAUUUAAAAGUAUGAAAUUUCCAACAUGCGAUAGCUGCGGAUGCAGAUUUAUUCUACCCAUUGCUGCAGCACUUAUUGAAACAAUUGGUGCUAAUUUGGUAAACAACAGUCACCCCAUUAGGAGAGUUUGAUCAUUCAACUACUAUAUUUUCAAUUGAAUCUUAGACACAUUUAACUUAGUUUACUUCAUUACAGUAUUGUUUUAUUUUCAUCUCUCAUAAUUAUUAGUUACAGCAGAAUUAUUUGACAAUUGUUUGUUUCGAUCUUUAAUUGAUUUGCACUAUUGUGAUUGUUUUAGCAUUUUGAGUAACAGCAAUCCCUGUGGAGACGAUCUUGAAUACUCAUCACUUUAUUACUUGUUGUGUAUACUUGCACAUUGGCAUUGAUAAUAAUUGCUUAUAGAAAUUAACCAACAAGUUUUUGGCGCCGUUGCUGGGGAUUGAUUGUUUAUUUUUGAAGUGUGAAGUAAAUCUUGAUAGCGCCAAAUCUGAUUUGAUUUAUUCUAUUUAUUGGCAGAUCGGUACAUGCAUGUGUAAAGACAAAUCUGUGGUAUUCUAAUUCGAUCCUGAGAUUGAAAGGACUGUCAGGAGAUUACGAAGAGAACAAAGGAAUUCAGAAAUUGCUUCAAGCAUGAAUAAUUUACAAGAUGCAGGAAAUUUGAAUCCUCACGGGCCCUUACAACCAGUGAACAUUCAAGAAGAGCAGAAUGACCAUGCUAACGGGAGACAGCCAGGCAAUAACAAUAUUAUUUACAUGGCUGAUGACAGAGACAGAGCUAUAAGAGACUAUGUUGUGCUAACUCCUCAAGUUAUAUAUCCUGGCAUCAUCAGACCUGAAGUAGACGCUGCCAAUUUUGAGUUGAAGCCAGUGAUGUUUCAAAUGUUGCAAACUGUUGGGCAUUUUAUUGGAUUACCAAAUGAAGAUCCUCAUCUCCAUCUUAAAUUGUUCUUGGAAGUAAGUGAUGCUUUCAAGAUUGCUGAAGCAACACAAGAUGCCUUAAGGCUGCGGCUUUUCCCUUAUUCCUUAAGAGAUCGAGCAAGAGUAUGGUUAAAUUCGUUACCAUCUGAUUCCAUCACUACAUGGAAUGAAUUGGCUGAUAAAUUCUUAAUGAAAUAUUUCCCACCGACAAAAAAAUGCGAAGUUGAGGAAUGAGAUUACUUCCUUCCAUCAACUUGAAGAUGAAAGUUUGUACGAGGCUUGGGAAAGAUUCAAGGAAUUGCUCAGAAGGUGUCCUCAUCAUGGUAUCCCUUGUUGCAUUCAAUUGGAAACUUUUUACAAUGGGUUGAAUCCAAGUACAAGGUUAAUGGUGGAUGCUUCAGCAAAUGGAGCUCUGUUAUCCAAAUCUUACACUGAAGCCUAUGAAAUUCUGGAAAGAAUUGCCAACAAUAAUUACCAGUGGCCUUCAGCCAGGCAACCAGCAGCAAGAGGAUCAGCAGGGGUACAUAACAUUGAAACAAUUACAGCUUUAUCAGCUCAAGUAACCUCAUUGACUAACAUGGUAAAAGCCAUGACAGCUGCUCCAGCAACAGUAAAGCAAGUUACUGAACUUUCUUGUGUCUACUGUGGUGAAGAACAUGAUUUUGAUAAUUGUCUUGGAAAUCCAGCCUCAGUAAACUAUGUGGGUAACUUCAAUCGACAACCUCAGAACAACCCAUAUUCAAAUACUUACAACCCAAGCUGGAAACAACACCCAAAUUUCUCAUGGAGCAGUCAAAAUCGAAAUGCUCCAGCAUUGAAUGGACUAAGUACAAACACACAACCACUUAGUUUUCAUUAGCAAAGUCAAGGGCAAAAGCAUAUUAGUCAGGAUCCAAUCACUUCACUAGAAACACUGAUUAAGGAGUAUAUUGCAAAGAAUGAAGCAAUUGUGCAAAGUCAAGCUGUAUCUUUAAGAAACCUUGAGAACCAAAUGGGACAACUAGCUACAGCAAUGAGCAGCAGAACUCAAGGAAGCCAACCUAGCAACACAGAAGACCCUAGGAGAGAGGGCAAAAAAGAAGUUACAACACCAGUAGUUACAACUUGCACAAAAUCAAACAAACAAAGUUUAAUAUCCCCUGAAGUUACCCAGCAGUUUAGACAUCCACCACCUUUCCUACAAAGGUUCCAGAAGCAAAAAUAAGACAAGCAGUUCAGCAAAUUCCUGGAAGUGCUGAAAUAAUUGCACAUAAACAUACAUUUUGUGGAAGAUUUGGAGCAAACGCCAAAUUAUGUUAAAUUUCUAAAAGAUAUCUUGGCACGAAAAAGAAGGCUGGGAGAGUUUGAAACUGUUGCUUUAACACAAGAAAGCAGUCAUAUGCUCCAGAGCAAAAUUCCCACAAAAUUGAAAGAUCCAGGGAGUUUUACAAUACCUUGUUCUAUAGGAACUAGAUAUGCUGGCAGAGCACUUUGUGACUUGGGAGCUAGUAUUAAUCUGAUGCCAUUAUCUGUAUUUAAGCAACUGGGAGUAAGGGAGUGCAGACCAACAACAGUCACUCUGCAAUUAGCUGACAGAUCUCAUGCAUACCCUGAAGGAAAGAUAGAGGAUGUAUUGGUGAAGGUUGACAAAUUCAUCUUUCCAGUGGAUUUCAUUGUGUUGGACUUUGAAGCCGACAAAGAGGUACCCAUUAUACUUGGAAGACCUUUUCUAGCAACUGGAAAAACUCUGAUAGAUGUGCAGAAAGGAGAGCUCACCAUGAGAGUGAAUGAUCAGCAAGUCACAUUUAAUGUGCUAGAGGCAAUGAGAAACCCUAGAAGAUUGUAAUUUCCUAAGUGUAGUGGAUCUUGUUGUAGCAGACAGAAUGGACAGAUGCUGCAGUAAUAUACUUGACAAAGUCACCACCUUUGAGGAUGUUGAAGAGGAAGAUGUUGCAGCAAUCCAAACAGAUUGGAUGGACAAACAACAAUCUGAUAGGUACAACAGGUUUAUUGAACACCUGAAUCUUUUAGACAUGGAAGUAAAAACAACUUUACCAUCUAUUGAAUCACCUCAUAAUUUUGAGUUAAAAUUGUUACCUUCACAUUUAAAGUAUGCUUAUCUUGGUCAAAACAACACACUCCCUGUAAUCAUUUCUUCUACUUUGGAUGCAGGUCAAGAACAUAGUUUAGUAGAUUUGCUGGGAAAAUACAGAAGAGCAAUUGGAUGGACCAUGGCAGAUAUAAGGGGGAUAAGCCCAUCCAUCUGUAUGCAUAAAAUCCUAUUAGAGGAUUGUUCCAGCAAUUCGGUGGAACACCAGAGAAGGCUGAAUCCUAUUAUGAAAGAAGUGGUGAAGAAGGAAAUCAUCAAAUGGCUAGAUGCUGGAAUCAUAUACCCAAUAUCAGACAGUUCAUGGGUAAGCCCAGUUCAGUGUGUUCCAAAGAAAAGAGGGAUAAUAGUAAUGGCUAAUGAGAAUAAUGAACUUAUUCCUACAAGGACAGUGACUGGAUGAAGAGUGUGUAUGGAUUACAAGAAGCUUAACAAAGCCACAAGGAAAGACCAUUUCCCACUUCCAUUCAUAGAUCAGAUGUUGGACAGACUUACUGGAAAACAGUACUACUGUUUCUUAGAUGGGUAUUCAGGCUACAACCAGAUUGCUAUAGUUCCAGAGGAUCAAGAGAAGACUACAUUUACUUGUCCUUAUGGAACAUUUGCCUUCAGAAGAAUGCCAUUUGGGCUAUGCAAUGCUCCAGCAACUUUUCAGAUAUGCAUGAUGUCUAUAUUUUCUAAUAUGGUAGAGCAAACUUUGGAAGUUUUCAUGGAUGACUUCUCAGUUUUUGGAGAAACAUACAAUGAUUGUUUACACAACUUGGAAGAAGUUCUUAAAAGAUGUGAGAUGACCAACUUAGUACUCAAUUGGGAAAAGUGCCAUUUCAUGGUGCAAGAAGGAAUAGUGCUGGGUCACAAGAUAUCCAAGGAUGGUAUUGAGGUAAACAAAGCCAAGUUAGAGGUAAUAGAUAAACUGCCACCUCCAACUUCAGCAAAGGGUGUUAGGAGUUUUUUGGGUCAUGCUGGAUUCUACAGAAGAUUCAUUAAGAAUUUCUCCAAUGUAGCUAAACCUCUGUGUUCAUUGCUGGAGCAUAACAAACCAUUUCACUUUGAUACAGAGUGCCUUAAGGCAUUUGGAGAAUUAAAGAAAGCUCUUAUCAUUGCUCCAGUAGUUAUAUCUCCAUAGUGGACUUUACCAUUUGAAUUGAUGUGUGAUGCUAGUGAUCAUUCUGUGGGGGCAGUAUUAGGGCAAAGAAAGGAUAAGGUUUUUCAUUCCAUAUACUAUGCAAGCAAAACGUUCACUCCAACUCAGAUCAAUUACACAACUACAGAGAAAGAGUUGCUAGUAGUAGUUUUACUUUUGACAAAUUCAGAGCUUACCUGGUGGGUACCAAAGUAACUGUUUACACAAACCAUGCAGCCAUCAAAUAUUUAAUUUCAAAGAAGGAUGCCAAACCAAGAUUAAUCAGAUGGAUCUUAUUGCUUCAAGAAUUUGAUCUGGAAAUUAAAGAUAGAAAGGGGACUAAGAAUCAAGUGGCAGACCACUUGUCACGGUUGGAAUCAGACACUAGUACAUUGACAAGGAAGGACAUCACCGAAACUUUUUCUGAUGAACAGUUGUUGGUAAUACAGCAAGCACAGAUGCUGCAGCAGUCAGAAUCUCCAUGGUAUGCAGACUUUGCUAACUACUUAGUAAGUGGGUUGCUACCACCUGAGCUGAAGUUUUAAGAGAAAAAUAAAUUUCUUCAUGAUGUUAGAAGUUAUCAGUGGGAUGACUCACAUUUAUAUAAGCUAUGCUCAGAUCAAGUAAUAAGAAGAUGUGUUGCAGCAGAAGAAAUACCUCAUAUACUGGAGUCAUGUCAUGCUGCAGCAUAUGGAGGAUAUUUUGGUGGUCACAGAGCAACUGCCAAAGUUAUGCAAUCAGGUUAUUAUUGGCCCACUAUCUUUAAAGAUGCUUAUGAAUUUGUUAAAUGUUGUGAUAUGUGUCAAAGGACAGGGAACAUAACUAGCAGACAUGAGAUGCCUUUGACUAACAUAUUGGAAGUGGAAGUUUUUUAUGUUUGGGAAAUAGAUUUCAUGGGACCUUUUCCCCCAUCCUUUGGGAACUUAUAUAUCAUUGUUGCUGUAGAUUAUGUCUCCAAGUGGGUAGAAGCUGCAGCAUUACCUACCAAUGAUGCUAAAACAGUGGUGACUUUUCUUCAAAAAAAUGUUUUCUCUAGGUUUGGCACUCCUAGAGCAAUUAUUAGUGAUGAAGGCACACAUUUUUGCAACAAAAUCUUUGCUGCAGCAAUGAUGAAAUAUGGAGUCAGACACAAGAUAGCAACAGCAUAUCACCCACAAUCCAAUGGUCAGGCUGAAGUGUCCAACAGAGAAAUUAAAAAGAUCUUAGAAAAAGUGGUGAACCCAAAAAGGAAGGAUUGGUCUUUACAUUUGCAUGACUCUCUAUGGGCCUACAGAACAACAUACAAAACUCCACUCGACAUGUCUCCUUACCGAAUUGUUUAUGGCAAAGCAUGUCAUUUGCCACUAGAGCUAGAGUACAAAGCCCAUUGGGCAUUAAAGAAAUUAAAUUAGGAUAUGCAUGCUGCAGCAGGGCAAAGGAAACUUCAACUUUGUGAGCUUGAUGAAUUACGGCUGUUUUCAUAUGACAAUGCAAGAAUCUAUAAAGAGAGAACAAAACACUGGCACGACAAGCAUAUUCAACACAGGAAAUUCACCCCUGGUCAAUUAGUGUUACUCCACAAUACAAGACUAAGAUUAUUUCCAGGAAAGCUCAAGUCAAGAUGGUCUGGCCCGUUUAAGUUGUUAAAAUCUUACCUUCAUGGAGCUGUUGAUCUUCUAGAUGAACAAACAGGCCACGAGUUCAAGGUUAAUGGACACAGGGUUAAGCAUUACAUACAUCCAGCAGCAGAAUGUUCAAAGGAGGUGUUACUCCUUAAAGAACCUAGCUAUUGAACAAAGAAGGAAGGUCAUGCUGAAGGACCUUAAAUCAAGCGCUUCAUGGGAGGCAGCCCAUUGAGGAGAUAGCCACUUCAAACCAAGUUUGAUAGCCUUUGGUUUUGUAGACAGCUUUCUCUCUUUGCCAUCUUAUUUAAUUUCUGUUUUUCUAUGAUUAGCCCUUAUUUUCAUCCAUUUACAUUAUUGCAUUCUUUACUUUCACUUUAAUUUGCUAUAUCUAUUUCUUUUAAUAAAUUUUAGACUUAAUGUUAGUAAGUGUGAUAAUUGAAUUUCAUAUUGACAAGUGAGAGUGAAUGGUGGCAGAAUUCAGAGGUGAAUCACGUGUUAGAAGCUUUUAGUGGGGAGUCUGUAUCCGUUGUUAGAAUAAGCGAAUGGGUGCUGCAGCAGCUAAUUUUACCGUUACAGUAAAUUAAAAGCUGGAGCCUUUCACUUACCGUUGGAGAUAAAAUCGUGACAGAUGGAUGCAUGGACAUGGAUAGAAAAUUGAGGAAACCAAUCUAUGAAAUUAAAGCUUUAAUUUCAUUGGCCGAUAAUUUUGGGGAUAUGGACAUUUAAUUCAAAUAUUUUAUUCCCUCAAUUAUCUCUCGUUACCGUAUUUAUCUUCAAAUUAAAGUCCAUUAUAAAAAAGAAUCACUGUGCUUAGUGCUCUACGCCACUAUUCCCCAUCUCCUUCGCAAAGACAACUCUAAAAACUCUUAAACUCUUUUUCUCUUUUUAUUCUCAGGAACAGUAGCUUCAAUUUGUUAUUGCUACAGCAAUGCCGAGAUACAAGAAAAUAGUCAGUCGCCUCAAAGAUCUAUCACGAUUCCAGAGUUACCACGCUGAAGAAAAAUAUGAAGAAUUCAUAGAGCCACGUCGGAUUCUGGAAGAAAAAAGGGUUUCAAUUCCCAGACCAACUCACGGGAAUUGUGCAAACCAUUCAUAAUGCUAUAGCAAAGCGAGGAUGGUUAGAGUUUUGCAACCACCCUCGCGAUCCUGUGUUGCCUGUAGUCAAAGAAUUUUACGCCAAUUUGGUGUUCGUCUUGACGCUAGAGAUGAACAUGUAAAAAAUGAUGGUGCCUGUACGGCACGUACCAUUGAGAGAGUUGCUGGUGAGAGUGCUGGAACAACCACUGAACCAGCUGCUAUCACUGGAGCAAGACGAGCCAUUGGUUUAGAACAGACUAUCCAGGUACUCAGCAAUAGUAUAACUCAAUGUGUGGAAGCUCAACAGAGGGAAAAUGGUCGAUUUUGGAGCUAUCUACAGCACUUGGAUAACCAACUACACCAAUUUGAUCUGUACAUGAAACGCACUCACUGGAACUUCCCUGAUGCACUGCUCCAGCAGUUCCAUUUUGCCAUAAACACCACAGGUGCUCCAGCAGCAGCCAGUGAAGAAGCCACUCCUUCAGAUGAACCAGCAGAGGACGCUGCCACUGAGCUACAAGCAGCAGUCGACUCAGAAGAGGCUGAACCGUCUGAUCCACCUGAGGACGAAGGUGACAAGUCUGAGACUGAUAGCUCACCCUCAGAGGCAGAGGAUAACUCAGAGAAAGAAAGUGAGGAACCAACCAUCCCAAGCUAGCCCAAAACUAGAAAAAAGCAUAUUAUUCAAGAAGAAGAAGAGGAAGACCUUGAAGAGGAGCUGCCUAUUCCAGUCUUUAAGGGUAAGAGGAAGGAUAAGGGUAAAGCAAAAUUGGCAACCCCUCCAGCCUCUGAAGAUGAAAUGGAGCAAGUCGAUGCUGAGUUGGCUGCUGCAGCAGCCAGAGCUAUGCCUACACCUGAGCAAGCCUAGCAACUACUUGCGGUUAUUGCUGCCAUCACCGCUGAGGGCCAGGCAGCUGAUGCAUUGACUCAAAAGCCUCCACAGCAAACUCCUGACCAGCCUAUCCGCACCAGUCCAAGACAAUCCAGCAAAUGAAAAGGCAGUACGUCUACAGGUACUGCUACAACAACCCCAGCCACCACUCCUCUCACCAGCCCCGCAGCGAAAAAGACAAAGACAUUGCCAGCCACUUCCCCAAAAGCUUCACCAAAGGAUAAGCUGCGCAGUGCGUCCAAGAAGCGCUGAUAGCAUCCUGUCAUGUGCUGCAGUCCCCACCACAGGGGAGUACUCUUUCCUUACUAGUGCAUUAAAAAAAAAAAAUUCAAUUUGUGUGUCAUUGUUAUGUUUGCUUGUGAGGACACAGCAACUCUCAAGUUUGGGGCGGGUUGUGUUCCCAAAUGCAUAUGUUUAUGUUUGUAUGCAUGUGUUUAUGUUUGUGUGGUGUGGAGCUCUAUUAUCUAAUAUUUGUGUAUGGAUUUGAAAGCCUAAUGAAGAUAAAUUGAGUGCUAUUCAAUAUAUAUAUGCCAAGUAGAGAUAGUUAUAGAUGAAAGUGAAAUUCUGUCCCGACACUUAGACUUUGGUUGAAUUGUACGAGACUGUUAGAGCAAAGCCAAAAGAAGAGAAAAGAUCUCAAGUUUGGGGGGGGGGGGUAGAAGCAAGUUUGAAUAACUGUGAUAUCUAUGGAAUACAAUUUGUUCCAAUGACUCAAGUUGCUGAGUAACCAUAUCUGAGUAUGUACCCCAUAUGCAGACUUGUGUUCAAAGGUAGCGAGAGUUAUGAGCAAUGCUGCACCAUAUAUAUAUAUAUAUAUAUAUAAAGAAAUCAUCUGUCUAAGGCAUUGAGUAGUUAGGUCUGUUCAUGAGCCCCAUGUUCAGCCUUGAGUAAAAGAUACUUCUAGAUAAGAUUACCUUACAAUUACUGGUGCAGCAACUCUAAUCUGGGCAUGGUUUGAUUAAUUGGGUGUCAUCAUUACAAUUGAUUGACAUUCACAUGAAAGAUAAAUGUUACAGUGAGGAGGUUAAAUAUUUCCUAGUUUGUCAAUCCUAAAAUAAUCACAGUUGAGUAUGUGAAAGUUAUGAUUACCCCAUUUAUGAAUGAAGUGUUCUCACUGUUGAAAUUCAUGCAAUCCCUUGGUGAUGCUAUAGCAUAUCUAGAAUUCAACCGAAAGAGCACACACACACACUAUGGACAGAAAGAAGCUUAAGUCUAGGACUAAUUUACUAUGGUCAUCUUGCUUGAUUGAGAAUAUGAUCUAAAGGUGGAAGAAUCCUUGCAAAGUUGAUAAAAGAGUUAAAUUUGUGUAAAGUGUUAGUAUGUGUCAUUACUUGAGGACAAGUAAUAGUUUAAGUUUGGGGGUGUGAUAACUCUAGGAAAUGAGAGUUAUUACAUCAAUUCUAGACUUGAAUCAAGGUCACUUAGAGAACAAAUAAGGUGUUUUUAUUACAUUUUGGGUACCUUUUGCAUAAACAUUCAUUUUAGUUGAGUUUAAUAAGUUUUGCUUGAAUCAUAGUAAUUUGUGCUAAAAACAGGUUUUAAAUUGUAGGUUUUAAAUUCGUGAGAGGAUGUUGAGGCAUUAGAAGAGCAAGAGGAGGAAGGAAGUUGGCCACAAAAGAAGUAAAGCACAAUCAGGAAUAAAACAGUGUUGUAGCAGCUGUUAGAGCAACCAGUGCUGUAGCAAUCUGGGAGCAAUGCGGGAGAAAACUUAGGCGCGAGUCAGCCACAAAAUCGUGAUCUGCAUGUUUCCUAAUUCAAGCAUAUGCACGCUCAUGGGCUUUGGUUUAACCUAAUUUACAAUAUAAAAAGGAGGCGUGCACCACAUAGAAAGGCGGCAAGGAAUUAUCAUAAAAAAUAAUUACGAAGGCAAGAAGAAGAAGAUCAAGAUUAAAGAGUGUUAUUCGGAAACAAAAGGAGAGAGUCGUGCAGAAUUAAUAGUUUCAGUUAAGAUAGAGCAGCAAAAGGGCAUGUCUUAGCGGACAUUAUUAGAGUAUUACUUGUUCUUAAGUCGAGUUUCCUGGAUUAGGUUAUCUUGAAUCCCAUAAGGGCAAUACUUGAAGUUAAGAUUUGUGACACUUUAGACAUAGGUGUUCACCUUGUAGGGUAGAGAGAUUAAAGGUUAUAAUGCCAUACCAUAAAUAUAUGAGCAACUGGUCAUUGUUAGUAGAUUUAAAGGUAUGAGAUUUCCAACAUGCGAUAGCUGCGGAUGCAGAUUUAUUCUACCCAUUGCUGCAGCACUUAUUGAAACAACUGGUGCUAAUUUGGUAAACAACAGUCACCCCAUUAGGAGAGUUUGAUCAUUCAACUACUAUAUUCUCAAUUGAAUCUUAGACACAUUUAACUUAGUUUACUUCAUUACAGUAUUGUUUUAUUUUCAUCUCUCAUAAUUAUUAGUUACAGUAGAAUUAUUCGAUAAUUGUUUAUUUCGGUCUUUAAUUGAUUUGCACUAUUGUGAUUGCUUUAGCAUUUUGAGUAACAUCAAUCCCCGUGGAGACGAUCUUGAAUAGUCAUCACUUUAUUACUUGUUGUGUAUACUUGCACAUUGGCAUUGAUAAUAAUUGCUUACAGAAAUUAACCAACAAUAUUCUUGGUGGUUGAUUUUGUUUUUUUAUACUAGCUUAUGAGAUCCUAUGCUUUAAAAUUCUUGUCUCUCGAAUGUUGAUUGAUUUAAAUUCUUGAGGUAUGCUUGCUUAAGAUUAUUUUUGGAUGAGUUGAGAUGAGAAUUGAGUGGAGAUUUGGGAUUAGUCUUGAGUUAUAUGCUUGAGGACAAGCAUUAUCUUGGUGUGGGGGAAUUUGUUAGAGUACAAUUUAUGCACUAGUUUUGCAUUGUUUACCUCCUUUAAUAUCGAUGUUUUGCACUUAAUAAUAGUGAUUUACUUGUGUUUUAUUUUUGUAGGUGCAAUUCGAUUGAUUGGUGCUAAAAUUGAGCUACAAGAUGAUGUUAGAGGAUGAUUGUUUUCCUGGAGAAAUUAUGAGCUUCAGAAGAACUUUGUUGAUAAGGCGUGGGCGCGUGCUGUCAACUAAGGACCUGCAGUUUUUAUUUUAACGUGUUUUGUCUCUUUGUUUAUUUUUGUAAUUUUGAAUUUAAUAUUUAGAUAAUAUUUUAGAUAUUAGUAUUUUAUUUUUGGAAAAACUCUAUAAGAGAAAGGAGACGUGAAAAACAAAGGAGGAUGAGAUUUUUAAAAAAAGAAAAAGAAACCCUAGAUCUAAAUUUUUCUCUUCUCUCUAUGAAGAACUAACCUAUUAUUCUGGUUGAAGGUUAAUAAAGCUUUGAUUCGUCAUUACUGGGAGAUCUUUCUUAUGCUUUAAUUGUUUUAUUACUUUUUGGGUAUUUGUUUAUUCUCUAAAUUAUGGUUAUGAUUAUGUUUGUUAAUUAGAUAAUUGGCCACUAUUUAAUUAUCAACUUAAUCUAUUGUCAAUUAAAAGAUUCAUCGUAUGAAGAUUUUAAUGUUUGUGACAAAUAGCAUAGCAAUGCGUUGUGUUAUGAGAAUAAACAAUCUAAUUUAAAUGAACCAUCGUAUGCGUUUGUUGAUUAGGAUUUGGGUCUCUUUGGUUUUUCAGGUUGUCAAUUGAUUAAACCCUAUGAUCGUAUCUAGGGUUGUCUAUUGAUUAGGGAAAUAACCAAUGGUCGUACCUUGGUUAUCGACUAGUUAAUGAGAGAUUAACUAUUAGAGGGUCUCAGUAGCUAUAAUCGGUCUAUUCAUAAGUAGUAAUGAUUUAUAUUUGAAUCAAUGAUCAGUAGUCGAAUCAAGCUGAGUUAAUUCCUUCAACUAGAGCUUUUCUCAAUUUGAAUUACACAUUUAAUUUGCAUUCUUGUUAUUUUAAUUUGAUUUUUAUUAUUGUCAAAAAUCCCCCCAUUUUGUAUUUUACAUUUUAAAAGGAUUCAAAUAAUUACCGAUCUCUGUGGACACGACCCUGCUCAAUCACUAUACACAAUUUAUUUAGAGUAGGUAUUUAGUUUUGCUGGCUUCGACAACCAUUAAUAUUAAAAAAUAAAUUUAUAUUUAUCAAGUAUAAAAAAUAAAUAGACAAACAAAAAUAAUAUGUUACCUAAAAUAAUGACAAUAUCAAUAUUUAACACUCUAUAAUUUAGUGAUGUGUUGUCCAACUGCCAUACAUUGGUCCCAAACAGAGCCUUAAAUAUCAAAGUCCAAAGUUAUUGUGAUGAUGACUUAUAAUCGCCAAACUUGACAUACGGGUAAUCAUGCAUUAUAAGGUGCUGAUUUCUUACUAUCAGAACCUUAUUUGUCAUCUAUAAAUAAAUAAAUGAUGUGACUUCACGGUUGGCGGGGUCCUUUGUAUCUCCUUUUGCAUCUACUUUUGUUGUUAACAUUACUUUCAAAAGCAGCUCGUUAUGUAUGCAACAUUUCAAAAUUAAUCUAAAAAAAACAAAAAUUAGUUCAGCUGACUAAAUUUGAAAGCAUGGAUUUGCUGUCGAUUAAAAACCGUUUUGUAGGGAAAAUUUUUGGAUUGCAAUUCUCAUAUAAUACAUAGAAUUAUCAUAAUUUAUAAAUUUUAUUUUCGCUUUUCUGUGGUAGUAAGUCAGACUCCUUAGUGACAAUUUAAUUUGAAAAAAUAAAAUCAUAAAUAAGAAUUAUUCGAUAAGAAUUAAAAUAAUUGAUAAAUAUUUGAGACGUGCAAUUUUGGAAGAUUCGAUUUCUAAUAGGAGGGGAAUUUAAAUUUUACAGCCUUUGGUGAGGAAUCCAAAAUGCACAAUUUGAUGAAAAUUAAAUUUCAAUAGAAAUUGAAUUCCCAUAUAUUAGUGAAAACCAAACAACAGAAAAGUGAAAUGAAUUUGAAUUUAUUUCCUUCCUCUCUUCUCCCUCCAACUAAAUACCAUUGAAAUCCAAAGGUAUGGGAUUUGUUUCGGAGUUUAAGAUUGAAAUUAAUCCCAAUUGUUGAUUUGGGACUAGAUAAGAAUUUAUCUUGGAACUCCAAUUCUCCCAAUUAUUUUAGUUGACAAUAUGUUUAACAUUAUUUUUUUAACAUUAUUAAUUGCAUAUUAUUUAAUUGUCAGUAUAUAAUAUUCUUUAAUUUUCUAAUUUAUAGGAUUAGACGCAAAAUUGAUUAUGGCUUUUGAAAUUUAAGUGUUAUGUCAAUUGAAUAGAAAACAUGGAGUAAAAAUUUUGGAUGCUUUUGUUGAUUAUCAAUUUAUGCAUGAAUUUUUGUACAUUUACUUUGGUUUAUUAUUAUUACUUUUAAACAUUUUUAUUAGUUUGGUUUAGGGUCAGUUUGGUAAUCCUGUAGCUUUUACAAUAAUUACAAUUAGCUAUGCUGUAGAAAUUGAUCAAUCGUGAGGAGAAUCAGCUGAACAUUUAGUAAAAUUUAUUUUUAAAAGUACUUUUAGUUUUAAAAACAGUCGUAUGUAUUUCUUAAAUCUUAUUGUUAAACUGGUGCAAGAAUAUAAAUGAUGAAUUGGACAUAAUGCGAAAUAAAAUUUAUUUACAAACAUGUAUAUAAAAUAUUUUUAUUAUGUACAUAUAAUUAUUGAUAACUAAAAUAAAUAUUUUAUAUUAUUAAAUUUUAUUCUCUAUUUUGUUAUCUCAAUAUAAUUGGUAAUAAUAAUAAUCUUUUUAAAGUUAAUGAUUUUAUUUCUUAAUUAAUAAAGAUAAUUUUGGAUUUUUAUUAUAUAAUGAGAAUAUAUAUAUAGAAUUGGAUUAAGUAUAGAAGUGAUUCUCAAAACCAGAUUUUGAAAAACUAUUCAUUCCCUACUUUUCAAAAUCUAAUGUAUGAUGAAAUGAUUUUGCCAAAACUAAUUACUAAAAAAAUUUAUAAAACACUAAGAAUUAACUUUUACUUUUUAAAAUCACUUUUAAGCUUCCCAAAAACAAUCCUAAGGGCCUUUAUUUGGGUGGUGUUGGAACUUGUAACUUUUGGAUCUUUUAGCUUUUAUUGGUUUGACACAACUGUUACACUAAAAAUUAAAUGCAUCUUAAACCCCAAACUUCUUCUUCUUCUUUUUUGAUUGCACAAAAUUAAAAACAAUAGUGAACACAUUCUUUAAUAAACAAUAAGUAAUAACUAAAAUUGCGUUAAAGAAUUUAGUUGAUAUAUAAAUUGAUUUCAAUGUUGUAUAUGCUAAAUUUCUUAAAAGUUUUCUUUCACAAUCUGCUGCAUAGUUUUAUUAGUAUUUUGAAUAAAUAAAAAUAAUUGAUUUAUAUUUUUUUAAAGAAACUUAUUAGGUUCAUGUAAAGAUGUUUUUUUUUUUAUUUUAAAAAAGUGUACAAAGUAAAACUUAAUUUUUUAAAUUUAUUAGAUGAGUGCAUAUAAUAUUUGAGUGUUCAUAGUAAUUUUUAAAGCAUAGAUAGUCGGGCCCUAAUAUUUUUAAUAUACGGAAAUUUUGCUAAUAUGUUAAUGAGAAUUAAAAUGAUAAUUAAGGGAGGCAUUCGAGACAGUCAGGAUAGUUAGGAUGGGACAUCAUUGUGAGCGGUUUGAGAUUGGUCCUAAUUUUGAUCACAAAUAUAUAAACUGGAUGAGUGUAUCCAUACUUACAUUCCAUUUGAUAAUUAAGAUAAAUGUGGAAUUGUCAAAUCCCAAAUCAUCCCAGACCAUUGCCACCAAAGGUACUCUCACUAAUAAUAUCUAAAGAAUAAUCUACAUCUAUUUCAUACUUUUUUUUUAACGGAAAGAGCCCUCAUGUGGCUUGAAAUGUUAUCCUAAAUAAUAUUCAGAAUAUCAUACCAUGAUUGGGUUUGUGACAAACAAAUAUUACAUAGUUGGAAUACGUAGUUACUAGUGUCCCAAUUUAUGCAGUAUCUAUCAUUUAGUGCACAUAUAAAGUAUUAAUCAGCUUAAUUAAUUUAUAAAAUUUAAAUCUAAUUAAUAAGUGACACAUAAAUGCCAAGUGCAAUAUAUGCAAAUCAUGUUUGUCGAUCAUUACAAAACUGGCUCUUGAAAACAAGCAAGAAAGCUUAAUUAAGAACUUAAAACAAAAAGAAUUAGAUCGAGAACAGUCAAGCCUUAUUUUUUCAAGGAUGGAGCUUAUAAAUCUUCAAGUACCAACAUAUGCUUGCCCCAGUUGUUGUUAUUAAAAUUUUAAUAUAUAUAUACACACACACACACACACACACACACAUAAAAAAGUAUGACAUAGCAAAAAUUUGAUGGUACAUAUGUCGGAAUAUACUAGUUCAUGGAUGCAUUUGAUUAUUGUUUCCAUAAAUUUGAACCAAGAAGGAUGACUCGAUAAAAAUUGAUUUUACGGUAUGGUUGAUUUCAAUCUCAUGCACUCAUUUCUUAAGAUAAUCAAAUUUUCUCUGGCAUCUUUUGCAACUGUGGAAAUAUCAAUUAUGAUCAAUCAAAAGGAUUUCAAAAACUUUCAACGAGACAUAUUUAUAAUACAAUAUUGUGAAAAUUACACCAAAAAUUUUAUUUAUUAUAUAUUAUUAUCCAACCAGCACACAAAAAUGAAUUCGUACAAAUCUAAAAUACUUAGCAAUUUUCAAAUAGAAUUUACCAUGUACUACAAGAAAAUAGGGUAUAUGUGACCCCUAAUGUGAAAAUAGGGUAUAUGUGACCCCUAAUAGAAUUUGUUGAACCUAGACCAGACUUAAUAUCCAAUCAAGAAUCUCCAGGAUCUAGCUGAACUCUCUAAUCAAGAUCUAAAGAAUGGUUAAUCAAUUCACAGAAAAGAAUCACCCAGAAACAGUAUGCAAAGAACAACAAAUAUAAGUGGUUCGGCUGAAAGAGCCUACAUCCACUGAAGAACAGACCAACAGCUUUUCACCAUUAACAAAGAACAAGUUACAAGUUUAGAGAUGAAGUUACAAGCAAUACAUUCCCUGAUUUUCCAGUCCUUAAGACUACUUAUACUAGCUUAAAGGCCCUCACAAAGACCCCCUGUCAACCAGCUGUAAUCUAGGUUUGUUAGCUAACAAACCCAGAAUUCUCCCGCCUAUUGUAACUGACUUUAACAGCUUCCAGGACACGUGUUGAAUUCUUACAAACAGCAAGCCCCAAAACGACAUUCUUUCAUGCCGUUCAGAGUAAGUGGAAGCACGUGACAUUUACGUGCUUCACUUAAAGCUUUGGGUGACGACCAAAGUUUGUCAUACAGGCUUGUAUCCUUUACAGCUGACAUGUCGUAUACCAACAUGACCACAAACUGACAUGACGGUUGAUCUUCUGGAAAUCAGUUUAAAGCUCAUACUUUAACAUUCUCCACCUUGAGCUUGAAACUCUCAUGACCUGCUCAUCUUCUCUCCCACCAUCUGUAUUUUAAUUAUCACAGAUGCCAGCCAAAUCCAAACAGAAUUUGAAUUUAGCCCCUGAAAUAGCUUUAGUUAACAUAUCUGCAACAUUGUCAUCUGUAUGGAUUUUCUGAAGCAUCACAGUUGCUUUUGAGACUUCCAGCCUGAUGAAGUGCACCUUAAUGUCAAUGUGUUUGGUUCUUUUAUGGUGAGUUUGAUUCUUACUUAGACAUAUAGCACUUUGGCUAUCACAAUGUAUCACCACAGACCUCUGAUUGACUCCAAGCUCCUUCAACAUACCCUUCAGCCAUAUUGCCUCUUUUAUGGCUUCAGCAUCUUUUAUGGCUUCAGCAGCAGCUGUGUACUUUGCUUCAGUUGUGGACAAAGCCACAACACUUUGUAGUUGUGAUUUCCAGUUUAUUGUGCAGUUGUUGAAUGUGAACAGAUACCCAGUUAGAGACCUUCUUCUAUCCAAGUCUCCUGCAUAAUCAGCAUCCACAUAUCCUACAAUUAAACUGUCAUCUCUUCUCUGUCCCCCAUAUAUCAGACCAUGCCCAGAAGUUCCCCUUAGAUACCUGAGUAUCCACUUUACAGCCUUCCAAUGUUCUUUUUCAGGAUUGGACAUAUACCUACUAACCACACUGACUGCAUGUGCUAUGUCAGGUCUGGUGAGUACCAUAGCAUACAUUAAGCAGCCUACAGAACUUGCAUAAGGAAUUUUCAUCAUUUUAGACUUGUCAGCAUUAGCUUUUGGGCACUGCUGCUCUGAUAAUCUGAAGUGGGCUGGUAAUGGUGUUUGCACUGGUUUGGCAGUAGCCAUGUCAAACUUAUCAAGUACUCUCCUGAUGUAUUCCUCAUGUGUAAGAAACAAGGUGCCAGAUUUCCAAUCUCUGAUUAGUUGCAUUCCAAGUAUUUUCUUAGUUGGUCCCAGAUCCUUCAUCUCAAAUUCACCUUUGAGUUGUUGUUUCAGAACUUUAUUUGUUCCAUGCUCUUACUAGCAAUAAGCAUGUCAUCCACAUAUAGAAUCAGAUAAACCAUUUCCCCUGAUAUCUCUUUGUAAUAAACACAGCAAUCUAGAUUACAUAUUUGAAAACAAAUUUUCAUCAUAAAGCUGUCAAACCUGAGAUACCAUUGUCUUGGAGACUGCUUGAGGCCAUAAAGUGAUUUCUUCAGAAGGCAUACCCAAUCACCAUUUGACUAGUCUUCAAAGCCUUCAGGUUGAGACAUUAUUAUUUGUUCUUCAAGCUCACCAUGUAAAAAUGCAGUCUUAACAUCCAUCUGUUCAAGAUGCAUGCUAUGAACUGCAACCAGUGCUAGGAUCAUUCUUAUUGAGGUAUGCCUAACUACAGGUGAGUAGACUUCUGUAAAAUCUAUCCCUUCCUUCUGUGUGUAGCCUUUGGCAACCAGCCUAGCCUUAUAUCUCAUGGAUUCAAUCCCUGGUAUACCCUGCUCGACCUUGUAAACCCAUUUGCAGCCUACUACCCUUUUGUUUUCUGGUCUUUUUACAAGCUCCCAAGAGUUAUUCUUGUGUAAUGACUCCAUUUCAUCCUUCAUAGCUUUUAUCCACUUGUCUGCAUCUUUUCCUGAAACAGCUUCUCUGAAGGUUUUAGGUUCAUCAUUGUCUAGUUCAUGGGCUGCUGUUAGAGCAUAUGCUAUCAAAUCUGGAUAUGCAAACCUCUUAGGUGUUUUGAUAAUUCUCCUUUGUCUGUCUCUUGCCAGCUGAUAGUCUUGAAUAUCUGUAUAAGUUCCAGAAGUUUCACUAAUAUCUUUAGUUUCUUCUCUCUCCAUGUCUUCAGCUUCAUCAUGGUAGUUCAGAGUUGAUUUACCUUUCAACUCCAUCUUCAAAUGUUGUCCCUGUGAGUCCACUCCUCCUUCUGGUUUAGCAGGAUCUUUUUUAUGUCUUUUCAUCAGCAUCUCUGACUCAUUGAAGACUACAUCUCGGCUAACUAUACACUUUGGUGGCCUCAUUUCAGUGCACCAGAGCUUAUAACCUUUGACACCUUCAGGAUACCCUAGGAAUACACAUUUCAGUGCUCUUGGCUCCAGCUUCCCUUGCUUGACAUGUGCAUAAUCUGGACAACUAAAAAUCUUUAGAUUUGUAUAAUUUGUUGUUCUUCCUGACCACAUCUCUACUGGUGUCUUGAAGUUUAAGGCACUGGAUGGGCUUCUAUUCACUAGAUAAUAUGUUGUCAUCAAAGUUUCAGCCCACAAUGUUUGAGGAAGCUUUGAAUGAAUCAGUAAACAUAUGACCUUAUCCAUCAAAGUCUUGUUCAUUCUUUCUGCUAACCCAUUUUGCUGUGGGGUGUAAUUCACUGUUUUGUGUCUUGCUAUGCCAUUGAGUUUAUAGAAAUCAUCAAACUGUUGAUUGCAGAAUUCAAGCCCAUUAUCAGUCCUCAGUCUCUUAAUCUUCCUACUACUCUGAGUUUCUACCAAUGCUUUCCAUUGUUUAAACCUCUCAAAGACUUCAUCCUUGCCUUUCAAGACAUAAACCCAUACCAUUCUCGAGUAAUCAUCUAUAAAGAAGAGAAAGUAUUUUGCUCCACCUAGAGAGACAGUAUGUGAUGGCCCCUACAGAUCUGAAUGGAUGUAAUCUAGGGUCCCUUUUGUGUUAUGCACUGCAGUUUUGAAACUAGUUCUUGAGGAUUUGCCUAGGACACAUACCUCACAGAACUCCAGAGACCCCAACUUAUCAUCCCCUAAGACUCCCUGUUUUUCUAAAAUUUUUAGCCCCUUCUCACUCAUAUGUCAUAACCUUAGAUGCCAUAUGAGAGUUUUAUCCAAACCCAGACUUGCUGAAAUACUGACAUCUCCAGUUACAGUAGUGCCUUGAAGCACAUAUAAGCCAUUUUGCUUAUUCCCUUUCAUUAUCACUAUAGACCCUCUAACAACCUUCAUUACUCCAGAUUCAACUUUAAUGGAGCAUCCAACCUGAUCUAGAGUGCCUAGAGAUAUUAAAUUCCUCUUUAAAUCAGGAAUAUGCCUUACCUCUCUUAGCUCCCUAAUCAUCCCAUCAAACAUCUUAAAUCUAAUGGUUCCUAACCCAACAACCUUACACAUUGUGUUAUUCCCCAUUAGAACCUCACCUCCAUUAAAAGAAUUAUAAGUAGUAAAAAGAUUUUGAUCAGGGCACAUGUGAUAUGAACAUCCAGAAUCAUGAAUCCACUUACUGUUUGUCUGAGUUUCAGAAGCCAAAAGUACACCAGCUGAGUCAUAGCCCUCAUCCUCGGAUGCAACAGCAGCAUCACCAUUAUUUCCAUGCCCUUCCUUACCCUUGUUCUUUCUGUCUGGACAGUCCCUCUUGAAAUUCCCUUCUUUAUGGUAGUGAAAGCAUUUCAUAUUUUUAUUCUUGGACUUUGACUUGUCUCUUUUCUUCCCUUUGUUGUAUUCUCUCUUUUCAGGUCUUCAUCUUGCCAUCAGACCUUCCCCAGCUUUUGUUUCUGACCUCUUUGUGACUUCUUUAUAACUGAGAGAAUCCUUUACAUCAGCCAUCGAUAUUGACUGCCUUCCAUAGAGCAGUGUAUCUACAAAGUGUUCAUAGGAUGGUGGGAGAGAUGAUAAUAAGAUUAUUGCCUUGUCUUCAUCCUCUAGACUCACAUUUAUAUCUUCAAGAUCCAGGAUGAUCCUGUUAAAGCUAUCAAUGUGAGUUGCCAAAGAACUUCCUUCCUCCAUUUGCAAAGUAUAUGGCCUCUUUUUGGUACAAAGUCUUUUGGUUAGAGACUUCUUGGUAUAUAGGUCUUCAAGCUUUUUCCAGAGGCCUGCAGCAGUAGUUUGAUCUCCCACUUCCCUAAGAACUCCAUCUCCCAGACUCAAGAUUAGAGUGUUAUGAUCUUUAUCCAAAGCAUCUAGCAUUUCUUCAUCAAAAAGCUUGCUGGGUUUCUUUUCAGAUCUUGGAUCACCCAAAGUAUCCUCCAGCCCCUGAUGAACCAACAGAGCUCUCAUCUUGAGCCGCCAUAGAUGGAAGUCAUUUUCUCCAGUGAAUUUUUCUACCUCAAACUUAGAGGUUCUCAUUUCUUGGAUCAAAGAUCAGAGAUAAGGCUCUGAUACCAAUUUGUUGAACCUAGACCAGACUUAAUAUCCAAUCAAGAAUCUCCAGGAUCUAGUUGAACUCUCUAAUCAAGAUCUAAAGAAUGGUUAAUCAAUUCACAGAAAAAAAUCACCCAGAAAUAGUAUGCAAAGAACAACAAAUAUAAGUGGUUCGGCUGAAAGAGCCUACAUCCACUGAAGAACAGAGCAACAGCUUUUCACCAUUAACAAAGAACAAGUUACAAGUUUAGAGACGAAGUUACAAGCAAUACAUUCCCUGAUUUUCCAGUCCUUAAGACUACUUAUACUAGCUUAAAGGCCCUCACAAAGACCCCCUGUCAACCAGCUGUAAUCUAGGUUUGUUAGCUAACAAACCCAGAAUUCUCCUGCCUAUUGUAACUGACUUUAACAGCUUCCAGGACACGUGUUGAAUUCUUACAAACAGCAAGCCCCAAAACGACAUUCUUUCAUGCCGUUCAGAGUAAGUGGAAGCACGUGACAUUUACGUGCUUCACUUAAAGCUUUGGCUGACGACCAAAGUUUAUCAUACAGGCUUGUAUCCUUUACAGCUGACAUGUCGUAUACCAACAUGACCACAAACUAACAUGACGGUUGAUCUUCUGGAAAUCAGUUGAAAGCUCAUACUUUAACAUAUAUCACUAACUUCUAACUUUGUAACCCCGAGUUGCUUUUGUUACCCUUUAUGUGACUGCCACACUGCUGUCACAUAUGUUAUUAACCACGUGACGGUAAAGAGCCGUUCGGUAUACUACUAUUUUACAAUUUUAAAUUUAUUUCCAGUUAGAAAACUAUUCGCUGGACUCCGUGUUACAUAUGCCACCAUCGUAAACCUAACUGGUUGCCGGCGAACGGCGUAAAACACCGGCCAUCUUCUUCUUCAUCGUAUUCUCCCUUCAUCUUUUGUUCGUAUUAUAGCCGUUAUUGUCAAUUUUUGUCCCGCCAGCAAUAUUUUUUUAUUCCUACAAGUUGAAGCACCCGUGCUCUUGUUCCAUUGAUGAGUUUGCUCACUCAAAUUAAUUUUGUUCUGUAGAAUUUACAAAGUUCAAAUGGAUUCAUUUGAAUUUAGCUUUAAUUAUGUAUGUCAAUUAUGUAUUUAGAUUAUGAAUUUAGCCGUUAUUGUCAAUUAUGUAUUUAGAUUUACUUUAAUUUUAUGCUUAAAGCUUCUACAUUGCUGAUUCUAUAUUAAUAAUGUUAUGUUCUAUUUUCAGAAAUUAUAAUACAAAAGUUUUUACAAUGUUGUGCAUCUACAAACUGAAUUGACUUGUAGAAUAAGAGCUUGGAGUAGUGUUAUGUUCUUGAAUAAAUGAAUGUUCAUAUUGUGUAAGAGCAUGUAGAUGUAAAGCAUCAUUACCAUAUCUACAAAGUGCUUUCAUUCUGUUCAGAUGCUCUUCUUGAACUUUGAAAGGUGCCUCGUUCAAGUCCUAGCUAUAACUACUAGUUUUGAUUAAUUAAGUUCCUGUACUAGCUGAAACAGAUUUAUUUAAUUAAUUAAUUGUGUAUGUACUAAUUAUAUUGAAAGUAUAUGAAUUUUUUUUUUAAAACAUGAAUGACUUCUAAAUGACUUAAAAACCUAAAGGAUGUGUGAAAUAAUGCUCAUUUCACUUGAAUGAACCCAUUAAUACUUUUAUGUCUAUGAUUGUCAAUAUUGGCUUAAGCAUUUCAGCUAAGUGGUUUACCUAACAGAGAAAAAAAUUUAAUAGAAAACUUCAGAGUUCUAACAGAAAUAUAGUUCACUAUGCAGAUAUAGUUAUUUUACGGUAUACAAAUCAAGUUGUCCUAAUCUCAAUGUCCUAUGACCGAUUUUAUUUUAUAUAGUCAUUAAUUUUUGCCAUGGUUUUUUGUGUUUAUGAGUAUGAAAUAGUGGGAUUUGGUGUACCUUAGCAUCUUUUGAAAAUUCUCUUUAUGUGUGGCCAACAGAAUAUAAUCAAGUUUCUUAAUCGUGUAUAUUAGUUUUGGGUAUGAAUGUUCCUAUUCUAGUUCUAGGCAAAGCUUCUUCAUUUUGGUCUUCAGAUUUCCAGUAGGUUAAGUUAAUCAACUAUCACAACUGACUAGCUAGUUAUUGUCUGCCUUGGCGCCAUUACCCAGGCCAUUAUAUUGCAUAGCAUAAGGAAUAGUGAUUAGGUGAUUAUUAGUGAUUUGUUGAGCUUAUUAUUGACCAAACAAACAUAUUCGCCUUUGCCCACAACUUAGUUUGAUUAGUUAUUAGACCUUAAAGAGCCUUGAUCUAUUCAUUGGCUUUAUUAUUUUUAUUUGGUUUUUCUUUCAACAAUAUUGUUGAUUUCUUAUAAAAAUAUUCAUUGGUUUUUAAACACCUAAUCAUUGGCUAUAUGAAGCUAAUUAAAACUGAGGCUUUGGAUCAAUUUCUUCUAACAGGAUACAAAUGAGCAUAACCUAUCUCCUCUAAGUAAAUUUUUUUAAUAUCCUUGAUUUGUAAGGAUCUGGAGGCCUGAAAUCCUCUAGAUUUUUUUUAACACUGUCAAUGUUCUUUUUAUUCUGAAAAGGAAAUAAAAGGUUUUAUCUUUCAUACCCUAAUAGUAAGCUGACCUUGUCUUACCCGAGGAUUUGCAAGAUUCAUAGUGCCCCCCCCCCCCCCCCCCCAAAAAAAAAAAAAACACAAAUAGGAAGAUUUUGCAAGAUUCACCACCAGGUUUUUUUUCAUUUAUUAAUUGUGUGUACGUACUAGUUAUAUGUUGAAAGAAUAGGAAGAAGUAUUUCAACAUGAAUGAAUGACUUAAAACUUAUUGCUCAGUAAACAUAAUCUGCAUCAGUGCGAAAAUGUAUUUAUCGGUUGUAUUUUUUAUGGUUUUGCUUAAGAAAUGAUAUGUGAAAUAAUGCUACAUUGUAUCAGGAAUAAAUUGAAGAGAUUUAUGAUAUUUAUGUGUUAUUCAAAUUUCAGAUUCAAUUUUAAAUACGUGCAUUGAAAGCUUAGACUUGUUUAAGAAAUUAUUAAUAGACACAUGUUUUAUUAGUGUCAUCUUUGGAUGAUAGUGAGGUUCAUAUGUCUAUUAAUAAUUCUUGAAUUGUCCAGGCUUGGGCAGUUUGGGAAUGCAUAGUUCUCUCUGGUAGCUAGUAGCUGAAGUUUUUUUCGCAAGUAAAAAUGGGUUUUUCGGUAGCUGCUCCUCGUGUUCUCUGGGUACGUACUAGGUGAAUGGGUGUCAUGUGUUGUUUUGGCAUAACGCAUAAACACUUAUAUAGCUAUGUUGUGUGCUUCGAGAAUUAUAGGGAGAUGGUGCCGAAAUUUUUAUAAACGUAGAAGAAAACUUUAGGUACUUGAGAUUGAAGAAACUUAUGCAUUCUUGAGUGGGAUAUGUAGGAUUACUUACCUUUUGUAAAUAUGAAGGGAAUGUUGGAUAUAUUGAGGAUAGUGUAGGAGCUGAGUUGGAUGAAUGUAAUUGGUCAUGAUUUUGCUGAGCUGACCUUGGUUUUGAGCUUGUAAUUUUGUUUGUAAAUGGAGUGCUAUCUCCAAUGUUGGUUUAUAAAAAUGUUUCAGGACUUGCUGACCUAAUUUUUUUUUUCCUAGGUUACAGGCUUUAUAUAUCUGUAAUUGAUAGCCAAGUGAAGUUCUCAGCACUUGGCGAGGAUAUUUCUUUACAGAAGGUAUUGGAAACUGUUUUUUACAUUAAUUAUUGUUGUAUAUAUACUUUGAUUUUCACAUCUUUUUCUCUGAUUCUUGUGGCUUUGCUUGCUUUCAUAUAUGUAAAUUCUAAUGAAAUUAACCAUAAAAUUGUAAAAUGAUCUUUUUAUUAUAUUGCAAAACCGUGCACACACGAAAAUAUCUUGUUUAGUAGUAGAAAUGAAGAACUAAAAUGAUUUACUUAACUAAUUUUUGUAGCGCAUUAAAAGGAGAUAGUCAUGGACAAGUGUUGGGCUGGUUUGCCAAAUAGAUAUCCAAGUCAUAUACUGAUGGGGUUGAAAAUUUUAUAGAUUUUGCAUUUGAGAAUGUUGUUGAUGAUGAUAUGAUUGGAAUGAUACACUGCAUCACGUAAUCAAAUGUUCAAGUUACACGCAGCAUUGUUAUGGAUUAUCAGUCACUUUCUAGUAUUGCCAACUUGUCUGGGUGGAGUAUUAAAGGUAAAUAAGCAUGUCUUGUUUGCCAACAAAACACUAGAUCUAAUUGGUUGAUACAUAGUAGAAAAUUUUGUCACGUGGGUCACCGUCGAUUUUUACCAACAAAUCAUAGGUUUCGAAAAUAUAGUUUCUUUUGAUAAAACUAGAGAGUAGGGACAAGCACCUUCUUGGUUGUCUGGAACUGAAGUGAAAAAGCAGUUUAAUAUACUUACUGAGUAUAAGAUUGAAGACUUGAAAAGAGAAAUGAUAAGAUUACUUGGAAGAAGAACAGCAUUUUUUUAUGAACUACCGUAUUCAUCAUGAUCUUGUUGUCAUGCACUGCUUUGAUUUUUGUUAUGAACUCAGAUCAAAAGUUUAAUGUGAUCAAAAUUUCUUAAAAAUAGUGAAAACGACUCCUCCUAAUAAUAUGGAAGAUGGCUAUAAAAGAUAAAAGGAAAGGCUUAAAAAGAAAAGCCAUGCCUGUCAAAAAAAAAUAAAAAAAUUGGCAGCGUCAAAUUUAUAACAAAAAUCAAAACGGUUUUGAGAGUGUAUUAAAAUACAUUUAGAGUGGGAGCUGUGUUGUUUUUUGAAGGUAGAAUGAUUGUGAGAUAUUUGUCGACGAAGCCAAAACCAAAGAUGAAGCCCAUAGAGCUCAAAACUCCACCGGAGCAAAUUCAGACAAUUACGAGGGUUAUGUUUGACAUAGUCAAGGAACACAGUCCUCUCACCGUUGCCGAAACUUGGGAAUGCGUCAAGGUGUGUGUAUCUGUUAAAUUGAAUUUCAACCCGUUUGAUCUGUAAUUAUAAUUAAUCCAAUCGAUCUGACAGUGAUCACUAGUAGUUGUUUUACAUUUUCAGCAAGCUGGAGCGAGUGGAUUGACGGCCAAAAGCCACAUGAAGAUUGUGUUGAGAUGGAUGAGGGACAGACAAAAGCUCAGGUUCGUCUGCAAUCACGUGGGCCCUCAUAAGCAAAUCCUGUACACAACUUGGUUCACCAAACCCGACAACUUGAAGCAGCCAAAAUCAGGGAAUGAUGCUUCUAUGUCACAACCCUAGAAAUUUCAAACACGGUGAAGAUGAAGUAAAGCAUAAGUAGAACAAUGAAGAUGGUAGCCCCUCAGCAUGUAAACUUUUCAACAGUAACACAGCUCUUAUUCCAGAGGCUGCACAGAAGAGCGACCUGAGUCCCCUUCAAAACUUUCAAAUUUUUAUCAAGUAAAGCUUUCAAAUUUCUCAACAAAUUGAUUAUUUGUGUGGUUGCCACAUUUUGUGCAACUGCCAUUCGUGUUCAAGUUCAAAUUCCUUGCCUAGUAAGUUAGGGAAGAGAGAUGUGAAGCAAACAGGGAAACAGAACAAACCGGCCAAAUUUAAAAUGACAGAACAGUAAUGAUGGCAAUUAACAAACUAAUAGCAAUAUUACAUUUGAUUCUUUAGCCCAAUUGUUCCUUCUGUCAGCAUUCUUCAAAAGUUUUUGAAAAUUAGAUGUGAAGCAAACAAAAUAAAACAAAUUUAGACAACAGAAGCCCUGUAUUCAGCAUCAUAUAUAUACCUUGAAUACCUAAUAUAAUAAAUUUCACAUCUAAAAUACUAGAAAUUUCAAACAGUACCAGCAAUAGAAUAAUGACAACGACAACAAUAACAGAAAAUUACAAGAUUGCUGAUAAAAUUUCAUUUGCAUGGAUGUAUAACAAAAAUUCUGUGAUUUAAUGUGCGUUCAUGCAUGCAAGUCCUAACGUUCCUGUGAUCACAAAAUGAAACUGAAGAUAAAUCAGAACAACUACCAAACCUCUGACUGAAAGUUCAAAAGAAUUUAUAUUCAAAAUGUCAAAAUAUACUGGAAAUUUAUUGCACAUAUUACAAGAAGCAGUACACACCAAUGGUAAAUUGAUACAUCGUUUUUGAACUUAACAAAGUCAAAUGAAAGAAACACGACGGAGGGUUAAUGUAAAAGUGAAUACCCUCAGCAUGUAAACUUAACUUCAAAGGACGGAGCACAAGUUUCACAGAAAAGUAGCUCUUAUUCCUGAUGCUGCAAACACACAGGAGUGACCUCAAUCUUCUUCAUAACUUGGGAAUUCUGCAAUUAUAGAGCACGACAUUGAGCAUGAACUAGAAAAAAUAUUUAUUUUGUACAAUUUUCAUAUAACUUGACUAACCAAGAUUAAUUUCGUGGUAAUGUAUUGAGUCAUUAAUUCAUAUGUUUUUAAAUAUUUUUAAAAAACUAAUUUCUCAAUUUGAAAUGGCCCAUAAAAAUUAUUCUCAUAUAAAAACUAAAUUUGACAGACCCCUCGAUUAAAGCAGGGGAAAAGGCUUUCCACAUGAAAAUGUUGUUUGUCACUUUGAAUGAUAUUUUGAAGGGAUUUCAUUCUAAAAAUAAAAUACCUGGGACCUCAUUCUUCAAAAUUGACAACUCGCCAGGUAUUAAAAGCGUAUGAGAUCAGUACUGCGACGAGUAAGAAGACGACCCCUCCAACAGCUGAAAACAAAAUUCGCAUUCAUCAAUUUAAAUUAAAAUUCAUAUUAUGAAACUAAAACUAAUGAUUAGUGAAUUUUCGAGGAAUUUAAUAAGAUUCUCAGAUAUAAACGUGAUAACAAAUUCACUCAUCAAUAACAAAUAAUCUAACAGUUAUCCGUACCUUUUCUUGAUGUAAUUGUUGUAUGGUUGUGUUAAGGUCAUUAUUAGACCAACGCAGGUUGUCCUCUCUCUGCCCGUACCGGACGUUUACUCUGACAUGGGUACUUAAUUCUCCUGAAGUGAAAAUCUUCAUCUUGGGACAACCAAUCACAGCAAGAUAUUCCAAAGAUGGGAAUUUGAAGGCGUAAUUGCCAGAGGAGAAGCUUGUGAGACUAUCUAAAUCAAACAGGGACAACGUAGUCAGUUUGCUGAAAACAAUCUCUUCUUUUAAAUUUGCUGUUUCAUCUUCGUCACUUAUUACGACUUCUGUGAUUGCUCUGCAUCCAAAUACACCCAAUGAUACGAGUCGCUCUAGACUUUUUGCUGUGGAGGAUGUUAGUAAGUUCAUCAAUUUCUUGCAAGCACAAGCUUGCAGGCGUGUGAGAUUCUGAAAAGAUACCGAUGAUGAUGGCAAUAGACUUAACAGAUUUUGACAGUAAUAUGCUCUUAGAAUUUCAAGAUGUUGAAAAAUCAAGUCCGGCUGUUUGGAAUCGUGUUUCCACAGUUGCUGCAGAUGAUUAAGUCUGGUCAGGUGUAACAUUUUUAUCAGUGCCAGCUUCCUCGCAUGUGUCUCCAAAUAUCCUUCAUUUGAAAAUACCACUUCGUACGAACAAUCCGACAGGUGGAGAAAUUCCAGAUUGUGAAACCUCUCAAGUAAACCAAGUGGAAAGCAAGCUAAGUCAUCAUCCCCAACCUGUAGUCGUUUGAGACUGCCAAAGAGGUGUUGUGGGAAAUCGCCUUGCAAAAUCAUCGUGAUGUCUUUUCCACUUAAUGCCAGUUCCUCCAAGUUGGGUAAGAUCUGAUCAUCAUCAAGCACAAAUUAUUAACUUAGCACAUUGAUCCCUAAUUCGAGACUGGCAAAAUUCAUUGUUAUAUACACACACAUAUAUAUAUAGUAUUUAUUAAAAUUUCUGGUCUGUGAGUAAGAAACAACAAAGACAACUGACAAAAAAUCUAAAAGUUGGUUUCAUACCUUCUUGAACGAGAAUAGGGGCUGUUGUGCCGGAACACCAAAUUGAUCAUUCUCGUUAUUCUGGGAUAACGUCAUUUUAUCACAAUUACACGCCUCCAAUAUUUUUAGUGCUGGCCAUUCCGAUGUAUGCAUUCCAGGGUAUAAACAUCUAAGUUCUGGUAGACCUUCGAGUUUCAGAGUGGUCACCCGUGGAAAGACAAAAUAAGCGGUCACUUGAUCUGUUCUGUUUUCAGAAAUGAUUUCUUGUAAACUCUUACAUAACCGUAUCUCCAGGUGUUGGAGUUGCUCAAGGCUUUGGAUCGUAGAAGCUGAAAAUAUGUAUUUUAAUUUGUCACAGCCCCACACUAUCAAUCGUGUCAAACUUCGAAGGCAAGGAACCAUGGCCGGAAGUUGAUUGUAAUGCCAAAUCUCGUCGACAUUAAUAGCAUUCAGCUCCAAAGCCUCCAAAUUUGGCAACACUACCUAAAGAUAAUUUUGUCGUUAGAUCCAAUAUCCAUAUAAGAAGUGCUUAUUGAGAGCUUAAUUAGUGAGUGUAUGAGAUUUUUUUUUUUUGCAUUUUCUUUUUCUAAAUGAUUUAAUUUUUUUUCACUUAUGGCAUCAAAUGCAAGUUCAUGAUAGAAUAAAAAAAAAAAUGCAAUAUCCAUAUGAAAAGGACUUGUGUGGUCCAGUUUGGGAUUAUGGAUGCUGAUUAAAUAAGUUGCUCCUGCUGUACGGAUGCAAUAAGUAGUUGAUUAAAAAAGCAGUUAGCUGUUUGGUAAACUGUGUUGUUGCAGUUGCUGUGAGUUUGAAAAGCAAUGUACAUGCGUUUGGUAAAUUUUAUUACAAACGUGUUAUUUUAUCAUAUAAUGACCAAAAUAUAUAUAAGUUUAAAUUUCCGUUUAUUUUUUUUAAGCAUGUUUAAUAAUCUUUAGAUAUGUCAUUUUCUUUUUAAAAUACGUAAAAUUAUAUUAAGUGAAAAAACUUAAUAAUUUGUUACAUAAAAUAUGAUAAAAAUUUAUACUAGUAUAUGAUCCAAAUAAAAUAAAAAAAGUAAUAUGCAUUACUUUCACAUUAAACUUGUUGCAAUAAACACCAUGACUAUAGAAAAUAUAAAUAGAUUGAAUGUUAAAAGCUAUGGUUAUAAAAUUGAUUUUAAAAGUUAUGAUUAAUUUUCAUGUGAAAUUGUUUAUAGUUCAAAAAAAAUUUACAUAAUUACAUGCAAGUCUUUUUUAAUCUUAUUAUAGAAAAUACAAGUAUAAUAUAAAAAAUAUGAACUUACUAAAUCAAAACUUUGAUAUUAGAGAGAAUAUAUAGUAGUUGUGGUGGUAAUAUGAUAUCUAAUAACUUAUAUAUUAGAGUGUAUGGAAAUAUAUGACAUAAUUAUUUUUGUUAAAAUAUUAAUUAAGGUUAUAAUAGAAACUUUAAAAAGAUGUGAUAGCUUAUUUAAUAAGCUGCUUAUGAAAAGUAACUCCCUAUCUGCUUUUAAAAGUUAAUGUCAAAAUAGAGAAAAUUAUAAAAUAAACAGUUUUUACAAAAUUUAACAAAUACUAUUUUUGUCACAGAUUAUGAAAUAGACAGUUUAUUGAGUUUUAACCUCAAUUCCAAACAGGGGCCACAAUAUCCACAUGACAAGCACUUAUUGAGAGCUUAAUUUGUGAAUAUAUGAGAUUUUUUUUUCUUUUUCUAAAUGAUUUAAUUUUUUUGCACAUAUGGCAUCAAAUGCGAGUGCAUGAUAGAAUAAAGGAAAAAAAAAAAAAAAGAAUGCAUUACCCUACGCACCUUCUCGUUGAAAAGCAGAGUUGAAGUAUCCGAACUGAUCUCGUUGGAACUAGCUAUCAAUUCCUCUUGCGACUCUUGUCUGUUUGGUGAUGUGGAAGGAGUCUUCACUUCACGGCAAAACCUUGUAACCUUUGGAAGCGUUCCCAGACUCAAAGAUCUUAGUUGACCAAACUCUAUCGUCUCAUCAACAUCGACAUCAGCUUCUCCUCCAGUUGCAAAAAUCUCUUCCAUGCUGCUGCAAUUGAGAACUGCAAUCCUCUCAAGUCUUGGAAGGCAUUUUGUACUACUAGAGAGCCAGAAGAUAUUACUCAUCUCAUCACAAUUUUCCACUUUUAUGGUUUGGAGUUCAUUGAAGGACUCUAUUGUGAGUCGAUCAAUACAUAUCCUCUCCAUAUUGAUCAAAUUGUGAAGAGUAAGGGACUCCAAAAGAGGAAAGGCGACACAAGGUUCUCUCUCCAUUGAAUCGGCAAUACACAGGAAGUCUGGAUUAUUUUGAACAUGGAGAUGCUUCAAUUGUGAAAAGCCCUCAGUGUCCAAUUCGAAAACAACAUUCUUGAUUCCUUGCAACUUAUCUAAACAUAAGUAUUCAACGUUAUUGAUGCCCUGCAACUUCUCGGAGCAAAUGGCCAUAGAAUCAAGCUUGAGCUUCAAUGUUCUUAAACUCUCAUGAUUACUGAUUGUUAGAGCAGCUCAUUAUGCUGAACAGAAGAAGGUGAAGACUAAGAUGAAGAAAAUACAGAGCAAGUUACAGGGCAAGUGUGUCAGCAGUGCCAGCUCAGCUAACAGCUCAGCAGAUUAGUUAAAGAUGGUUGUAAGCAUGAUGUGCAUUGUACUGAAGUUAGUUAGCUUUGAUUACAGUUAGUCUUUGGAUUAGUUAAAUGAAGUUACCGUGAUUGCAUUGUAUAUAAACAGGUGAUGCUUUGUAAUCAAAAGUUAAGCAAAAUAAAAAUCAAAGUUUGUUAAGGAAAUAUCUCCAGAAUUAUCAAUUCAUUUUCUUAGUAACCAAACAACUUUAUUUCAUUUUUCUUUCAUGGUAUCAGAGCAAGGUUAAUGGCUAGUUCCAGUAGCACAACAUCAAAUCCAAAUCAAAUGAAUAUAAAUCAAUCAUCACAUAUCUCCUUUUCGUUCAGCACUCCAGUCAAAUUGGAUCGAUCAAAUUUCAUGAUUUGGCGAAAGCAAGUUCUUACUACAAUAAGAGGAAAUCGUCUUGAAGAUUUUAUUUCUGGAAAUCAAAUCAUACCAGAACAAUACAUUUCUAAUACAGUAGCUGAUGGAUCAGUACAGAGAAUCACGAAUCCAGCUUACAUCAACUGGCGAGCUCAGGAUCAAACUUUGCUUGGCUGGAUUUUGUCAUCCAUAAGUGAAGGUAUCUUAAAUACUGUUCUUAAUUGCGAAAAUUCAUUUGAAGCAUGGAGAUCAAUUGAAAAACAAUUUGGAGUACAAUCUGAGGCUAGAGUAUUGCAAUUGAGGUAUGAAAUGAAUGUCCUUAGAAAAGAGAAUAUGUCUGUUGAGGAGUACUGUUUAAAAGUAAAAGCUGUUGCUGAUAAGCUUGCUUGUGCUGGUAGCCCUGUGUCUGAGAAAGAUCUGCUAAUGCAAAUUUUGAAUGGCCUAGGACCUGGAUUUCUAGAUCUUGCUUCAAUAAUUACUGCUAAUAGAAUGUCGUAUGAUGAUGCUUAUGCAUUACUCUUAACACAUGAGGCAAGAAUGGAACAAAAUCAUAAUACUAAAGAUCUUUUUAGUGCAAACUAUGGGAUGAUGAAUGCUAACUACUCUCAGUUUAGAGGAAAUAAUAAGAGAGGUGGUUAUAGUGGAUAUCAAGGGCAAUUUAAUGCUGGAAAUAGGAAUCAAAAUGGAGGAAGAGGAAUGUUUUUCAAUUCAUUCUCAAGAGGUUUUCCAGCUGGUGGAUAUACUGGUAAUGCUGGUGGCAGAGGACAGCAAAUGAAUGCAUAUGCUUAUAAACCUGUGCUUAACAACAGGCAUAAUUUCAAUAUGAAUCAUGGCUCAACUUCAAUGUCCAAUGGAAAUGGAUCUGAUGAUAAUGUGCUUAUCUGUCAAAUCUGUCAUAAAGCUGGACAUGCAGCUGAUGUUUGUUGGCACAGACACUUUGAUGGCUAUGCUCCUCAACCCAGACAAUUUGGAAGGGGCAGAGGGCAUAAGUCUGCUUAUAUGGCUAACUUUGAUCCACAAAUUGGCUUUACUUCACAAUUUGAAGAUUCGUUUGCUACAGAAUAUCCUGGUUAUCAUGGGUACCAUCCACCUGAUAUGAAUGCAUCAGUUGCAUCAGUAAGUCAUCACUCAUCUGAUAUGCAUUCUGUACCUGGAGCAGCUUAUAUUGCAAAUUUUGAAGGACCAGCUGAUGAAGGGUGGUAUCUUGAUAGUGGAGCUACGCAUCACAUCACUAACAACAUGGCCAAUAUGCAUAUCAGAGAUCAAUUCAGUGGAGCAGAUCAGCUCAUUAUUGGAAAUGGACAAGGUUUGCCCAUAACUCAUGUUGGUGAUGCAUCCUUUCUCUUUAAAAGUUCCAAUUCUACACACAAACACUCACCUAUAGUACUUAAAGAUAUUCUGUUGGUGCCUUCCAUUACCAAAAAUUUGUUAAGUAUCUCGAAGCUUACCACUGAUAACAACUUGUCUGUUGAAUUUCUUGGAAAUGUUUGUUUUGUGAAGGAUUCUCUGAGGGGACAGGUACUUCUGCAGGGUCUUGCUGAGAAAGGGUUAUACAGGCUGUUAUUGAAAUCAUCAUCAUCCUCUCAGUUAUCAUCAUCUUUUCUUUCUCACAUGUGUUCCAAUAAACCUUUGUCUAUGCUUUCUUGUUGUUGUUUCAAUUCUGUUCCUUCUGGAGUUGUUACAGAAUCUCAGAAAUCAUGUAAUCAAACUGAUGAUUCAUCUUGUAAAACUUCAGUUAAUAAAGCUAUUUUGCUUCAUAGAAAGUUUGGUCAUCCCAAUCAUCAAAUAUUAACUCAUAUACUCAAAACAGCAAAAUCUAUUCAUUUACCUGCAUAUCAAAAGCAACAAAUGCAUCAGCACAUCUGUGAGGCCUGUCAAAUGGGCAAAACACAUAAACUUCAUUUUCCUAUUACUGAAACCAAAACCUCCAAAACUCUAGAACUUAUACACACUGAUUUAUGGGGUCCUUCUCCCAUUAUUUCUAGAGAUGGUUAUCAGUAUUAUAUAAGUUUUGUAGAUGACUACAGCAGGUAUACAUGGAUUUAUCAUUUGAAGCUAAAGUCUGAGGCAUUAGAAGUCUUUAAGCUCUUUAAACUGCAGGUUGAAAAUCAGUUUAGCACAACCAUUAAGAUGAUGCAAUCUGAUUGGUGGGGAGAGUAUAGACCAUUCACUGAGUUUUUAAGCCAAUUUGGUAUCAUCUUUAGACAUCCUUGUCCUUAUACUCAUCAUCAAAAUGGGUUAGUUGAAAGGAAGCAUAGACAUAUUGUUGAAUUGGGUCUGACUCUCUUAGCUCAAGCUCAACUUCCCUUUAAGUUCUGGUGGGAUGCAUUUCAUACUGCUGUAUAUCACAUCAACAGACUUCCAUCUCCUGUUUUGCACCUUUUAACCCCAUAUGAAAAGACAUUCAAACACAAACCUGAUUAUGAUUUUCUCAGAUGUUUUGGGUGUUCUUGUUAUCCUUACUUGAGAGAUUACAAUAAACAUAAAUUUGCCUACCAUUCUAGUAAGUGCAUAUUCAUUGGUUACAGUCCUUCACAUAAGGGCUACAAAUGUUUACACCCUUCAGGUCGAGUCUAUGUGGCAAGACAUGUUACCUUUGAUGAAUCAGUUUUUCCUUAUGCCACUGAGUUUGUUUUUCAUAGUCAUGCUAAAACUGAUUCUCAAAUUUCUCAUUCCCAUACACCACAGCAAAUCCAUCAUAUCUCUUCUUUGCCUGUCAAUAACAGCACUGGUAAUCUGAACUCUGUAAGAUCUGGAAGCAGCAGUUCAAGUCACUCAGAUCAUCUAGAACAGACAGCAACUGAUCAGAAUUCACAACAAGCUACCAUAAAUGACAGGUCACCUUUUCAUACAUGUCCAACAAUUGUUGAAUCUAUACAAAAUAUUCCAGAACCUCCACAUCACUCUUUGCCUAUACAAAGUCACCAUCCUAGCAACACCUCUUUCUAUCCAUAUACACAACCAAAUACACAUCAGAUGAUAACCAGAAGUAAAGCAGGGAUUUUCAAACCCAAAAUUUAUACUGCUGUGCUUACUCACAAGGAACCAGAUACUGUGCAAGAAGCAUUAAAUGAUUCAAAGUGGCUACAAGCUAUGAGGGAGGAAUAUGAUGCCUUGAUUAAGAAUAAUACAUGGACAUUGGUUCCAAGACAAGCUGAUCAGCAUGUGGUUGGAAAUAAAUGGGUGUAUAGAAUCAAAUAUAAUACAGAUGGAAGUAUAGCUAAGUAUAAAGCUAGACUUGUUGCAAAGGGUUUUCAGCAAGUGGCAGGGAUUAACUAUUUUGAGACAUUUAGUCCAGUUGUGAAGUCAGCUACAGUUAGAGUAAUACUUAGCUUGGCAGUGAUGAAUCAGUGGAGAAUAAGGCAAGUGGAUGUCAAUAAUGCCUUUUUGAAUGGAGAGCUAACAGAAGAAGUUUUCAUGUCUCAACCUGAUGGCUUUAUUGAUGCUCAGAGAUCUGAUUUUGUAUGCAAAUUACACAAGUCUCUGUAUGGGCUCAAGCAAGCUCCUAGAGCCUGGUAUGACAAGCUUAAAGGAUGCUUAAUAAGCUGGGGUUUCACUACUACUAGUUCUGACACCUCAUUGUUUGUUAGGAAGAUCAAGACAUCUAUGAUCAUAGUUCUUAUAUAUGUUGAUGACAUACUGAUCACAGGUCCAAACACUGAGGAGCUGGAAGGUUUCAUAACUGAAUUCAGCAAAACUUUUGCUCUAAAGGAUCUGGGAGUGUUAUCUUAUUUCCUUGGAAUUGAGGUAUUAUAUGAUGCAGAUUGUAUGUACUUGUCACAGAGAAAGUAUAUCAGAGAUUUGUUAUCGAAGGUAGAAAUGACUGAAUGUAAGGGCAUUGAUACACCCAUGAGUACUGGCUCUAAACUGCAAAAGAUAGUUCAGGGGGAACUUGGAUACUAUCUUGAAGAUCCAACUCAUUAUAGAAGCAUAGUUGGAGGAAUGCAGUACCUGAUACUUACCAGACCUGAGAUUGCGUUUGCUGUAAACAAGCUCAGUCAGUAUGUAGCUGCACCAACACUACAACAUCUAAUGGCAUGCAAGAGAGUUCUAAGAUAUCUGAAGGCAACUCAAGAUUAUGGUUUAAAAUUUUUCAGAGAAGGAAGCUUAACACUCACUAGUUUUACUGAUGCAGAUUGGGCAUGUGACUUAGAUGAUAGGAAAUCAGUUGGUGCUUAUUGCAUUUAUUUAGGCAAUAAUUUGAUAUCCUGGUCUUCUAAGAAACAAUCAGUGAUAACCAGAUCAAGUGCCGAGAGUGAGUAUAGAGCUUUGGCAUCAGUGAGUGCAGAGCUGACAUGGUUACAAUCCUUAUUUUCUGAGUUGGGAUUAAGUUGCAUAGAAAAGCCAAUCAUAUGGUGUGACAACAUUAGUGCCACUGAACUAGCAAAGAAUCUUGUGUAUCAUUCAAGAACAAAGCAUAUCGAAAUUGAUAUGCACUUCAUUAGGAAUAAGGUUCUUGCUGGUGAGUUGAUUAUUCACUAUGUACCAAGUGAAGAACAGAUUGCAGACAUAAUGACCAAGCCUCUCUCAUUUGUAAGGUUUAACUACUUGAGGUCCAAACUCAAUGUCCAUCUUUGUCCUCUGAGUUUGAGGGGGGCUGUUAGAGCAGCUCAUUAUGCUGAACAGAAGAAGGUGAAGACUAAGAUGAAGAAAAUACAGAGCAAGUUACAGGGCAAGUGUGUCAGCAGUGCCAGCUCAGCUAACAGCUCAGCAGAUUAGUUAAAGAUGGUUGUAAGCAUGAUGUGCAUUGUACUGAAGUUAGUUAGCUUUGAUUACAGUUAGUCUUUGGAUUAGUUAAAUGAAGUUACCGUGAUUGCAUUGUAUAUAAACAGGUGAUGCUUUGUAAUCAAAAGUUAAGCAAAAUAAAAAUCAAAGUUUGUUAAGGAAAUAUCUCCAGAAUUAUCAAUUCAUUUUCUUAGUAACCAAACAACUUUAUUUCAUUUUUCUUUCACUGAUCAUAAAGUGCUGCCGACAUUCAAACCAGUCGUUCCCAAUAACCUUGGUAGAGUCGAAUGAUGCAUCUCCUAUUGAUAUAUCAAACCUUUCCAGCUUUUUGGAAAAAAAGCCAUCCGGUAAAAUGCUAUCGUUUUUAACAUCUAUUUCUAAAGUGGUCAAUCGCCUCAAAUGCAUCAAUUCGUCGAGGGUGGCAUUACUUCUUUCACUAUUGGCUUUUUCAACUUCCCAUUCAACAGGGGAAUUACCCAUAUACAGUUCUUCCAAUCGAGUGAAGCUUGAUAAGAUGUUGGGCAAAAUAAAUUUUAGUUGCAAACAAUCUCUUAAAUCUAGCAGCCUUAACUUAGUCAGUUGACCUAGUUCGUAAGGCAACCGUACAAUAUCAGACCUUAAAAAGCUAAGGAUUUCUAGAUUCUUCAACUUCCCAAUUAUGGCUAUGUCUCCCAACAUGCUUUGUACUAGACACAGUGUUUGAAGAUUUGCUAGAAGAUCGAUUGAAGAUGGCAAUGAAAAUAAUCGCAUUCCUGUCAAAUCCACAACUCGAAGCUUUUUCAUCCCUUUGAAAAAGUUCUCAGGGAUAUUGAGCUCGACAAAAGAGUCUUUGGGAUGAAUAAGUAAAAAUUCAAGUUGCGGACAUUCCAAUUCCUUAGAAACUUCAUGAAUGCUACUAUACAGUAAAGAGAUUGCAGAGCAUUUUUUAAGUGCAUCCUCAUCUGGCCACUCCCACACAACCUCACUUCUCACCAAGAAAACAUGUUGUUCUCGACAUGCAAUUGAAAUGGCAACAUCGCAGACAACAUCAUGCAUAGAAAAUUGUUCAUUACUAUCACCCUCAAGCAAAAAACAACAAUCUCUAAGUUCAUGGAGCAAUGCAUAUAAUUUGUUUCGUGCAUCUACCAUCCUGUUGACUCCUUGAAAUAUGCCCAAACCCAUAGAGUACCUAAACAAGUCUAGAAACCAAAAACUGUUACCUAUUAGACUACAGAGAAGAAAAUUUUUCUUGAGUUGCUCACCUUUUAAAUACUUGAAACUCAGCUCAAUACUUGAAUAAGUCUCUGCAGGCACACCUUCGAAGUUUACCAUUGAAGGCGUUUGGAGUUCUCGCAAGGCAUUCUUCCAUUCAUGCAGAGUCUUGUUUCUCAGUGCCCUUGCCACUGUAGUCAAGGCAAUGGGCAAACCUCCACAUGCCUGGGCUACAUUAAUUGCUAUAGACUUGAACUUACAAUUGUCAACAUCAUCACCAAUCAUUAUCUUAAACAAUCUCCAAGCUUCUUCUUCAUUUAGAUUGCCAAUCAAAAAGUUAUCUUUGGAGCCCAUACUUAAUAGUACAUUAUUAUCUCUUGCUGUGAGCAAUAGUCUACAUCCUUUAUGAUCAUUUCCAAAAGGAAUUCCAAUCGUCUCCAAAUCAAGAUGUUUCCAGAUAUUAUCUAGAAUCACAAGAAUCUUAUUCUCAUUCUUCAAUCGUUCAUACAGCCUGCUGGCUCUUCUAUAUUCAGCUUCAUCGGACAACUCCAGACCUAACUUCUCUGCAAUUUCCCCUUGUAUCUUUUUUAUGUCUGGAGUUUGUGAAACCUCUGAAAAAACCACACGAUCAAACAGCUUCUUUUCCCUGGCUUGCCUAGCAAACUCCUUCACCAGUGUCGUCUUUCCAAUGCCGCCCAUGCCGUACACCCCAAUAAUGCUGACGUUCACAUCAGUCAACACAUUUUGUAUAGACUUCAAAGUAGAAACUCUUGAUUCGAAGGCCUCGUAACCUUUGUUAGACUUAAGCCAUAUCUCCUCCGGAAUGGCACGGUGGGAAACGAUAUCAAACUUCUUAACUUCUUCUCCAAGUUCAACAAGGGCCUUCACCUCUGUCUCUGCUUUCUUGCUAAGCUGAUAGCGGGUCUUCAAAUUAGGACACAAGCCCUUGAGACAGCGCUUAUUUGUUGACUCUUCAUCUUCAACGAAUUUGGCUGCCCGGUCAAUGAUGCCGUUAGCACUAACCAGCCACUUCUCAACCUUCUCUUCAAUCUCUUCCCCUUUUUCUUUCGCCUCUGAAACUCUGCGCUGAAUGCUCGUACGUUCAACCUUCAACUUCUCCAUUUCCGCCUUGAGAUUCUCAAGGUUGGCAUUGUAGUUCCGCUUGCGCAAAUAAACAAGUUGGCGUUCUGUUGGAGGAGCCAAGCAUUUUACAAGUUCCAAAAUGAGAGUAACAAUGAUUUCCAGCAUCUUGAAUCCUGACAACAAUGUAGAAAUGAAGAAGGCCAAAGGACAGUAAGAACAGAGAGACAACGAUACGACAAGCAGUUAUGGAGCUAAAAAUAAAUAACAAACAAACAGAAGCAAAGUGUUUUUCGAAUGAGAAGAAGGAAGCAAGAAAAGGGUUUCUAUUUAGAUUAAGAAUGAAUGUAAAGAAGUGACAAAGAUGUCACAUAAUGUAAUUAAGUACUGAAUCCAAAUCCUAUCCUAAAUGGUUAGAUAAAAAUAAGGGAAUGAAAAGAGUAAUGGUAGAUUAAUUUAUGAGGCCAAUUAACGAAACGACAGAUCUGGUUUCCAUGUUUGUAAUUUAAGUGUAUGAGUACGAGGUGAACCAACUCUUUGUCGAGUCAAGCAAUUAGAAGGAGAAAUUACUAAAACAAGAACCAGCAACUUUUACUCACACAAGAGCUAAUAAUGUAUUGAGAUUGUGCAGAGUAAUACAAAACCUUAAAACUAGUAUAAUAAAUUUGUCAUCAAGUUUUAGCCUUCUUCUUCAACCAAUUACAGCACUAUCUUGAGCUCUGAGUUUCUUUUUUUAAAAUUUUUCAAAAGAUCUUUGUCAUUAGUUUUUCAAUGAUAAAAAUUAUAUUUUUAUCUCAUAAAAUAUAAAAUUUUAAAAAAAUCAAACAUAUAUUAUAGGUUUGUUUGAGAUUAUUUUUAAAGGCUCAAAAGUCACUUUUUAAAGUUAAAUGUUAAUUUUGGUAUUUGGUAAAAUUUUUAGAAAUCACCUUUGGUAAAAUCACUUAUCCCACAACAAAUUUCGGAAAGCAAAAAAGGAAUAGUUUGUCAAAAUCUAAUUUUGAUAACCAGUUUUAUACUUAAUAUAAUUCUAUAUACAACCUUAUAUAUAUUAUAAAAAAAAAAUAUCCUUAUUAUUUAGGAAAUAAAAUUAUUAAUUUUAAAGAUAUUUUAACAAUUACAUUGAGAUAACAAAAUAAAAAUAAAAUUAAUAAUAUAAAAUAUCUAUUUCUGUUAUCAAUUAUUAUAUAUACAAGAUAAAAAAAAUAUGUUAUAUACAUGUUUAUAAAUGUAUAAAUAAAUUUUAUCUAACAUUAUGUUCAAUUAAGUCAUUUACAUUAAUAGCACUUUUACAAGUAAAUUUUCCUAAAUGUUUAACUGAUUAUCUUCACAGUGAUUAUUUCCACAACAUAACUACCAGAAAUUAUUGUAAAAGAUACAACAUUACCAAAAAAAUAUUGAGGUACAUUUUAAUUAAGUAAUUGACUUAAUUAUGAAUCAAUUUAUUAUUUUCAUCUGUGUUAUCUAAACCAGCUCAUUAAUGAGAUCACUCUUUUUCUUAAAUAAAAUAUUCCUGCCAAACAAUUGUUGCAAAAUUUCAAAUAUAAAUUACAAACAGCAAAAUUUUCUAAAGUCAUAACAAUUAUUUAUGUUUUGAAGGGUCCAGCUAGCUUGCAACCGUGAUUUGGUACCCCAUUUUUUGUCUUUUUGUGAUCCAACCAUUAGAUCCAACCCAAAAGUUGUAAAAGCUAUUCCAACGGCAAGGAUGCAAUUACUUAGUUAUUAACGCUGAAGCCCCUCUUGUUUCAUAAAAAAAAGAAAAGGUUAAAUUUCAAGAUUUUGACACAUAAGUCCAUCAAAAUAUUUUAUGAUUUUUAUAUGAGUCCAGGUAAUUUAAUAAAUGAAUAUAUUUAGAUAUACAAAAAUAUGGAUGGAUUAUUUUAACUUGCUAAAAUACUCCCCACAUCCAUUUAUUUAAAAUAUCAAUUACAAAAAAUCCCAUUUUUUAGUAUAAUUUUUUUAAAAAUAAAAUACCCAUUUAAUGUUUUACCAUUUAAGAUAGUGUUACUUAUAAGGAUAAAUAAUUAUUUUAACUAAAUAAAUGAAACUUAACUUUUAUUUCUAUAAAUUUGCUCAACAUCAUAUAACCUUAUAAUUGUUAGCAUAAGAUAUAAAUUUAGUCUAAAAAAUUUAUUCAAAGGGUCCCCUUAGGGCAAAAAAUUAAUUAUCAUAUGAUAAUUUGGUUGGCACAAACUCUAUUAUUCUUAAUUUACUUAUCCAUGCCAAACACUAUAUUGGAAUUAAAUUUUAGUAAAAUAAACAUAUGUCAACAUCUUUAACCGCAUUCAACUGACCCUAAUUGUUUAGAUUUUGUUAUAGAGAGCAAGAUAUAGUUCUUUUCUUAUUAUAGUAGUAAAAAUAAAUAAAAAUAAACACAAUAGAUUUCUUUUAAGAGAAUGCAAGCAUUAUUUUUAUGAGAUUUUGUGUUCAAGAAAUUAAUCUAAUUAUGUGGUUAGAAGACUCUCUAUUUUGUGAUAUUUUAGAAGAAUUAUAUGUUGGAUAAAUGAAUAAAUUAAGAUCAAAGCAAAACAAAAAUGAUUGAGAAGAAAACCGAGAGAGAAUAAUUUUUUAAAUUUUAAAAUUUUCAUUUUUUAAUUGGGGUUUAUUUUGUAAAAUUAUUGCAAUUUAUAGUUUUUAAUAUUACCAAAAACAGUAGAGAUUGCUAAAGAAAAUGCCAAACAAAUUUUUUAGAAUUAUAAAAUUAUUAUAUUUUAAUUAGGGCUUGUUGUGUAAAAUUUUUAAAAUUUAUAGUUUUUAUUAUUUACCAAAAACAAUGAGGAUUGUUAAAGAAAAUGUCAAAAUUGGGUGUUUGGUAUAACGGAGGCAAAGUAGUUUCGUCCUGUUUUGAAUACAUGUAACUAAACCACAUUGAAAGUUGUCAAAACAGGAGGACCUAAUGUUAGUAAAAUUAUUUUUCAAGCAAAUGCAGUGACGAAUUUGGUUUCAUGUUUCACCCUCGAUAACUUAAUUUUCAUAUCUAACAAAUCAUCCAUAUUAUUAACAAUAUCAUCACCAACCAUAAUCUACCUAAACAUAAACUAAACAUAACACAUACAUAUAACUAUAUACAUACCGAAUCAGGAAAACAAUGAGAGCUACACGUAUCCGGCUCCACAAUUCCUUGUUGAUACCCUUGUGCUUCUAAAAUUAUCAACCAAUUAUAAAAAUUAGCUUAGGCGCAACUUUACCCCUUUUUUUUGGAAAACUUAACUAUAAAUAAAGUAUACAAAUCUCUAAAUUAACUUUUUUCCCAUGAAAUUCAGCAUAAAUAGAAAUAGAAUUAUAGAAAUCUUACUUCCUUUUAUGAGAAAUCCAACUUAUAUAUUUGAGACCUCUCUCUCUAAGCACGCGCUUCCUCUCUCUGUAUACUUUCCACCUUUAAAUUCUCCUCAUUAAAUCUGUCUAAAUGAAUUUAGCAGUCUCCCAGUUUCUUUAGCAUUUUUCUCCGUGAAAAUAAGUGAAAAGCGAAAGUGAUUUGAUUAUUUUAAUGUAUGACAGAUCUGGUUUCCCAUCUCCGUAAUUUAAGUGUAUCAAAUUGUCGAGUCAGUCAAAUAUAAAAGACAAAUUACUAAACCAAGCAGAGCCAAAAAAAAAAAAAAAUUCCAAUUAAAUAAUCAUCAAGUCUUUUUCAAUUAAAAUAGGGAGUGCAGAACAACUGUCGAGAGAUAAUCAUUGUUUAUGGAGCCAUAUUAUAUUUUCGAUUAAAAUAUUUGCGCGUGAACAAUUGGCAGAAUUCGUAUAAAUUGUUGUAAGGUCUAUUAUAAUUAACAAGCGGAAUGGCCAAUGGAUGAAGAACCACUGUAAUUUCGUUUAUGAAUUUAAAAUGCUAAAGAAACUGGACAUCAACGCUAAAUGUUAGCCUGCGGUCCUUGCCUCAGUUUCUUUCAGGCGUUACUCUGGGUAGUUGAUAUACUGACCGUCCCUUUAUCAAUUAAUAAUCGAAAUAGGUUAAAAUAUGAAUGGAUUGGAAUGGUAUGACUUGGAAAUGGGAUGACAAUCAGAUUAAUUUAUUCAUUUAAACUGAGAAAUUAGAAUCAAAAUAAAUUAUAUUGUUAUUGAUAUAUUUACUUUAUCUUAAAAUUAUGAUAAGUUGUUACGAGUUAUUAAUAUGCCUUAUUUUUUAUUAUAAUAAUUAUUAUUUAUUAUAACAUUUUUCAUAUAAUAAUAAUAAUAAUAAUAAUAAUAAUUAAUAUUGAAAAAAUUUUAUUGUUAAUAAUAAAGUAUCAUUAGAGUACUAGACAAGCUCACCACGUCUAAGCUAAGUGAAGAAAUAGACUUCAUCAACAAAGCUUUUGUGAAUAUGCGUUACAUUACAACUGCGAUAUCCUUUCACUGUAUAUUCAUACAGUGGCAGGCCAUGUGACAUUGUGACCCAUGUGCUAGCUUUCACUAGUCAUAUUAUUUUUUUACACGGUGUUUAACAAAAUCUUCACGUAAAGAUUUCAGACGCGUGAUCCUAAUUCAAUAUGCAUUAUUUAUUUAUUUAUAAAAUGAAAAUAAAAAGAUAAAAGGAUGUGACUUAACUUGCUAUCAGUGCGGAUCCAGGACUUAAUAUUAUUUCGGGUUAAAUUUUAAAAUUUAUAUUUUGAAGUGAACAUAAAAAUUUAUAAAUAAAAAGAAGUAUAUUAAAUGAGGGGAGACAUGGAGAGCUUUAUCCCUAUGAAUAUGUAUUAUAAACAAAAAUAAUUAUAAGAAAAGAAUAGAAACCAAAAGGCAAUUCAAAUAUCAAAACACUAUUUUUCAAUUAUGAAAUCCGACAUUGCAACCUAAUAACAUGUAAUUAUAUAAGGAUUAAUAAAUCAAUUAAGAAUUUCAAACUAAAUUAGAUCAGUACAUGUAAUUAAAAUUAAUUAAAGAUUUCAAGUAAAACUUUUAUGUUUGAAGUCAAGUACUAAAUUACCAAGCUUAAAUAAAUUUAAAAAAUUAAAAUUCAUUCAUUCUUUCGAAUUAUAAAAGUAUCAUUAGUCAAAAGUUUUAGUAAUAAACUAAACUCAAUUCAACAAAAAGUUAUUUGGAUAUCGUUGUUUCAUUGCCAGUGCACUGACUUUCUUUAUAGAAGUAUAUGUUAAUGAUUCUUCUAUUAAAGCUCUUCAAAAUACCUAAAUUUUAUUUUCUAACUUCUUCUCGUAGUUAAUGUAACUAAUAAAUAGAAUCUGAAAAUUCACAUAAAAUAUUUAUGAAAAUGUUGAUAAUUGUUACUAUAUGUUGUUUUCGUAAGUACUUUUAAUGCUAGUAACGAUGUUAUAUUACAUUGAUUUAUAUUUUUUUCAAUUAGAAGUUUUUUAAAAUAAAUUAAAGCAAUAAUAAUAUUUUAGCUCCCUAAUGUUUUCAAUCUAUCCAAUAAGUAUAUAAUUUAAUCAUUUUAUAAAAUAAGUCACUAAUUUCAAUUGGAAAUAAUACAAUUGAAUUAGGGACAUAUUUGAAUAUAAAAUAAUAGCUCAAUUGUUAUACUAAAUUGAUGAAAAUAUAAGGGUAAUUGAGUUAGGAAAAUAUUUGAAUAUAAAGUAAAAACUUUAUUGUUAAACUAAAUUGAUGAAAACAUAAGAAUACUUGAGUUAGGGACAUAUAUGAAAACAAAAUAACAACUCUAUUAUUAUAAAAAAUUUAUAAGAAAACAAGGUGUAUAAAUGAUUUUUUCUGUUCUAGACCAAGCUACAGCCUAGUCUAGCCAGCUGUAGGUCUCCCACUACUUGCUAUUUACAUACAGACAUGUGGCCCUUAUUCUAAUAUCUAUAGGAAAAGACACCUAUACUCCAAGAUUUGAAGAAAGAUUUGAAGAAAUAGUCACGUAGAUCUCUAAGUUUUCAGUAACCACAAUUUCUCUUUGACUAUAAUAUUUUUUGUACUUAGAAAAAAAAAUGACUUUAGAUUUUUUUAAUAAAUAUAAAUAUAAGUUAAAUAGUUUAAUUUGUCUAAUAGACUAAUAAUAUUAGAAUAUUUUUAAUAUAUAAAAUAAUUUUUAAAUAAAAAAUAUUAUAUUUAUUUUAAUAAUAUAUUUUUAUUUAUCAUAAAAAUAUUAAAUAAAUCUUUGGGGUUAAAUAGAAUUUAAAAUUAAUAAAACACAUCUCAUUAAUAAAAUAUAUCUCAUGUACUAAUAAUAUUGAAAUUAUUUUAAUAUAAAAUUUAUUUUAAAAUAAAAAUAAAUUUAGAAUAUUGAAAAAUUUUAUAAAAUUUAUUUUAAUAUUAUGUUCUUAUUUAUUAUAAAAUUUAGUCUAAUAUAAUGUAAGAUUGUAAAGUAUAAAAAUAUUUUCCUAAAUUGAAGUUGUUUUAAAAUGUUAAUAUUUUAUGUUUAUUUCAAUAUUAUAUUUCUAUUUAUUAUAAAUCAUAGGAGUCAAUUUUUUUCAGUUAAUAGAAUCAAAGGGUAUUAUAGUCAAAAGAGGUAUUGGUAUUCCUUAUUAAAAAUUUAGGCGUCUACAUGACUAUUUCCCAAACCUUAGGGUGUAACUUUCUUUUCUCCAAAAUUUAUGAUUCUCUGUAGGUAUUUCAUGAAGGAAAACGAUAUUUACACUGAAUCAAAUCCCGAACUAAUUAAAAUGCACUAUUUCAGCUUAAAUAAUGGUAAAUAUUUGUUUAGUCUCUAUAUUUUGAAUUAAGUACCGUUUAGUCCCUCAAGACACCUUUUUCAGUAAGCACAAUAUAAUCCUACCCUUACUUUUUCUUUGAUUCUAUAAUAACAUGCUUGCAACAAUAUUUUUAGAUAUGUUAAUGUAAAGAAAAAUUUAAAUUUAUCAAAUCAGCCUUAAAAGAAAAAUACAAAUUAGUUGUUAUUAUUAUUAAUAAAAUAAUAAAAUAAUAAAAUAAUAAUAACAAUAAUUAACAUUAAUUAAAAUAAUAAAGUUAAUAUAUUAUAUAAAAAAUAAUAUUUACAUUUAUCAAUUUUUCAUGUGUUCAAAAUUUUUUAUGUGAUAUUACAUUAUUAUCUUUACACCAUCAAUCAUUUUUAUGAUCAAGUUAGGCUAAUGGAUCAAACUUUAAAAAAUUUAAAACAAUAGGAGUUAUAUAAAUAAAUAUUUAAAAAAUUUUGUUUUUAUGAUAUUAUAAUAAACGGUAGAGACUUAAGUGUUAAUAACCAAUUGAACACGUUGAACACUUUAGCUAUUAGAUCUGGCUAAAUUAGAAAAAGACAAAAUUUAGGGUACCGUGCAACUGUUGCAAGGUAGGCGGACCCGUUAUAUUUAAUAUAGAAUAAAUAAACUAAAUAUGUGUAAAGAAUCUAGGUUAGUAACCUUGCAAUACUUCAGAAAAUUAUAAAAUACAAAAGGUGAAAUUUCAAAAUAAGGAAUUGUAAAAAGUGUUAGGUUCUAAAAUUUUAUUAUUUUAAUAUUACAAAAAUUUACUUUUUUAUUACAUUUUUAUUUUUAAUAUUAGUUGACAUUUUAGUUUAUUUGUAUAUAAUAUAUGUUAAUUUACCUAUAAAAUACUAAUAUUACUCUUGAAAUUUAAAGAAGUCAUUUUAAUUUUUAAAAAUUUUAAAUGUAGCCCAACAAAGUCAUAGAAAUAUAAAUAAAGAAUAACAUAAAAGGAAGUUAAUUUAAUUUUUUUAAGAAUAUUUCAAAAGCAUUUGAGUUUUAUGUUUCUUGAGAAUUAUACCAUUUUUUUUUAGAUAUUUGAGCUUGUGAAACUUGUUGUAAUGAUAAUUUAUUAUUUAUUCUUGAUUAAAAAUAAUUGAAUAGUAAAUUUAUUGGCUUCUAAUUACUCUUUUAAAUGUAGGGUGGUUGCUUAAUUUUUAUUAUGUUUCCUUAAACUUUUUGAUGAUGGCUAAUCAACCAUUGCAAAAGACUCUACCUGAUUAUUGUUUCCUUAAACUUUUUGAUGAUGGCUAAUCAACCAUUGCAAAAGACUCUAGCAUGAUUAUUUUUACUUUCUCUACAUCCCUCUAGACCAUCAUCACUCAAAGAAUUAAGGGUUCACUUGGCAUACUGUAUUAUACUAUACUGUAUUGCAUUAUUUAAUAUGGGUAUAUUGUAUUAUGUUAUAUUACAUUAGUAAUAAAUUAUAAUAAUAUUUGUACAACAUUUGGUAAUUGGUAUUACAUUGUACUGCAUUAAUUUUAUAUUAAUAUUAAACUAACAUUAUUUAAAUUUAUUAUUAAUUAUAUUAAAUUAUUAUUUUUAUAUUAAUUAUUUUUAUAUAAAUAUAAUAUGAUAUAAUAAAAUAAUAUGAUAGUAUAAUUUACUUUUAUGUUUUUAUUUAUUAUAAUAAAAAUAAAAAUAUAUUUAAUGCUCAAUUAAGGUAAAAUAAUAAUAAUAACAAUAGUAUUACUUAAAAAAAAAUCUAUAAAGUUUAAUGAUGAUCAUGAUGUUGACGACAUUAAUAAUAACAUAACAAUUAAAAUAAUAAAACUAAUAAAUUUUAAUAAUGUUAAUAUUAAUAAAAUAAUAAUAACAAUAAUUAACAUUAAUUAAAAUAAUAAAGUUAAUAUAUUUUAAUAAUAGUAAUAAAAUUAAUAUUAAUGACAGUAAUAAAAUUAAUAAAUAAUAAUAUGACUUAAUUAAAAUAAUUAUAACAAUUAAAAUCAUAAAUUUUAACAAUAAUAAUAAUAAUAAUAAUAUUAUUAUUAUUAAUAUAAUAAUAAUGACAUUAAUAAAUAAUACUAAUAAUAACAUUCAAAUUUUUUUUAAAGCUAUUUUAUCCCAAAAAAGGGACUUAUAUAUAAAAUUUUGUAAAUUCUAGUGUCUAUUCAAAAUUUUCAUAAAAUAUAAGAUAGUGCAGUGUAAUUAAUAAAAAAAAGACAAAAUGAUAUGCUGCAACCGUUGCAACAUAUUUUCAUCCUUGUUUGUGAUCCUUAAUCAAUAAAAUAUCUGACAAUAUCUUCGCCAAAAGUUUAAGACAUGUGAUCCUUAUUCCACAGCGUCAAUGAAACUCCAGUCAAAUGCUGCCAUCAUUAUUGAACAGUCGAUAUCCAGCACGUGCACGAAGAUUCCAAGAAGUUGCAUGGCUAUCGACUUUUAGAUGCUAAGCCUCAUUGCGUUGAUGAUACACAAAACAGACGGUCAAGGUAAUUGCCAAAACUUAGAACUAAACAGUAGCUUAGUCAGAAAAUCAAACGCCAGUACCGGUAAAAUGACCGAUAAAAAUAUAAGGACAUAAAAAUUUUAAAGUUUUACUUUAUUGCUUUUUUAAUCUUAUUACUAUUUCUCCUUGCACUUCUAAAGAAACCAAAGCUUUAAAAGAAAUCAGCCAAAUCACAAAGAUUGAAGAGUAAAUCUAUGGUUUUAAAUUUUUAUUUUAUUUUUUUAGAUAAUAGAUAUUAUUUUGAUGAAUUUUUUAAUAUUAGAAUAAUGUUAGGAAUUCUAACAGUAGAAUUCUAACUUGGAACCCAAUUGAUAUGUGUCAUUUUUUCAUUGGAUAAUGAAUUUCAUCACUAGUAAAAUUAAUAUUUGGAUCAUCUAAUAAAUGACUACCAUAUCAAUUGGGACUCAAUUAUUGGGAUCCUUAAAAUUGCUCUUAGUAUUAUAUUGGACAUCUUAGCUAAAUCAAAUUAAAAAUUAAAUUAGAUUUUAGGCUUUAUUCAACAUCUCUUUUUGUCUUUUUUUUGGUCUAUUUGAAGUGAACGAAAUAAAAAUACAAUAGGGUCAACGACUGGGCAAUUGAUAGUCAAGUAGAAGCAAAUCAAGGCUAAAUGGGAAAGAGAAAUUAUAUUAGUGCAAAACAAGGAGAAAAACAGUGUAACAGAAGAGAAUCAAAGUGCUUUUGAGAUCAGAAAUUGAAACAAGAAAAGGGUCGCUUGAUCCAAUGAAAAUGCAAAGAGCUGACGGCAAAAGGGAAUAAAGUUAAAUAAGAAAAUAGCUAGCGCUAGCAGCAACCACAAUAAACAGAAAAUUUGAGAUGGAUUUACAAUAUUUCUGCCUUUCUUCAUGCUUUAACAAAUAUUGCUUUAUAAAAAAAAAGAAAUUGAGCGUUUUUAUUAUUGGAGUCACAAAAGACCUACACAAUAUAGCAAGUGACUGGGAAUAAAUAAAAAUAUAUAACUGAUAAGUGCAUAUUUUCCAUAUAUUUUGUUAUUAAUUUCUCCAUCUUUUUCUUGAUUUGAUCUUAAAUAUUCUAGUUAUUUUAGUUAAUUUUUAAUUAAUUGUAUUAUUUUAUUGAAUAGGGAAUUAAUUGGAGAUUGUGGAUAAAAAGGGCAUGAAGAAAUUCAAAUUGAGAAGGAAUAAGGAUUAAAUUGGAAAAGGAUUUCAAUUAGAAUGGAAAAAGGAUUUCUUUAUUCUUGUUGGAGAAGAAUUCGGUCAACUAGCUUUAUAAAAGGGGAGCUGCUGGAUGAAAAAAAAGGAGGAGAAUAUUCGGCAGCCAAGAGGAUUUGAGGAACUAGCAGCCGAAAGAAGGAAAAGCAAGGGAGAAACCGAAAAGGAAUUGAAGAAAAAGGCAGCUGCUUGAAUUAAUCUCCAUGAUUGGUUUUGUCAAUUCUCUUAUUUCCAAUUCAAUUAUGUUAGGCUAGAUUUUUAUUUGGUUGAGGGUGAAUUCAAAACCCUAAACAUGCUAUGCAAUUAAAUUUAAAUUCUAUCAUUUAAUUUAUUUAAUUGAGAUUGUUUAUGUUCUUCUAUAAUUAAUGUUCAUGGUUUGUUCUUGUUUUAUUUGAGUGGCCAAUUAGAUAGGACUUGAAUAAAUUUUAUUGCUAGAUUAAAAUUCUUGAUCCGUAAUUAUCUUGAUAUUUUAAUUAUUAGUAACAUGUUGGAAUUAGUGAUUUCAAUUAAAGAACAUAACCUAGGUUAAAUAAUCCGAGCUUGUGUGUUUAUUGCCUAGAUCAACCUAAUAUCUUUCUCUGUUUAAUGCUUCCAUUAUCUUAAAUUUAAAGAGCUUGUUUUAAAUUAUUUAAUGGUUAGAGAUUAGGUGAAGAGCUUAUUUUGCCUAACGACACACUAAGGAAAGAUUGAGACUAACAGAGCUUAUUGUUGUCUACGGUUGAUAGUUUUAAUAUAAAUUAAUGAUAGAAUUGAUAUAUUAUGUGCAUGUUUGGUGGUGGCGAAUGAUCCUUUAACCAAAGUUUUCAUCAUUAAUAUUUCUUUCUCCUUUAAUUAGAGUUUUUAUUAAAUUCUUGUUCGUAGUUUUAAUUUCUUUACUUCUUACUAUUUAGUUAAAAAUUCAUAAACCCCCUCUUUUAUUUAUAAUUGGUAAUUUCCUUAGUUAGAUUAAUUUAUAUUAUUAUUACUACUAUUAUUUUAUUUUAAAUCUUGCUUUAGAGUUGAUAAUAAAUAUAACUACAUAGUCUUUGUGGGAUCGAUCCUUACUCGCUCUGUACUAAUUAUUUAUAUUAGUGGUAAGGUUAUAAAUUUGGUGCACCUUAACGACACUACCAAAUUUUUGUAACUCUCUCUCUAAUUCUCACUCUAGCUUUUAAUUGUCACUCAAAACCCAGAAUUCAUCCUUAAAGUGUAAGCAAAUCAGAGAUGACAACGUCUGGCUGUCAUACGUGCCUUUUAGUUUUCGGAUGACAUGGCGUACACUUCUUCUGUAAACCGAACACGACAUGUCGUACUCUUUGUUUUGAGAUCAUAUUUCAAACUCUUCAUGCUAUGAAUGAAAGAUAAACUACAAUCAUAAACAUAUUUAGUGUUUAUUUGGUAAUGUAACGUUAUAGUUGUUGUGAAUUGAAAUUAUUUCUGUAAAAUAAAAGGAAUAUUUAUAAUAGUAUAAAAGGAAUAUUAAUAGAGGAUGUAUUAAUAUAAAAUUUGUUUAUUGGUGUUGAAGUUAAUUAUCUCAUUAAUAAUACUAUAAAAAUUUUAAUUACUAAGAAACACAUAGCAGUAGUUAAUUGGUGUCAUAUUAUUGGGAUUCAGGGAUAUAAUUUUAUAUCAUAACUUUGUAAGUGUAUAAUUACUCAUUAAAUUAAGAAAAUUAUUUAAAAAUAUUUAGUUGGAAAAAAUAAAUUAUAUUCUUUUUAUUUCAAAUAAUCUAUAAGUUAACUCAAAACAUAAUCAAGCUGAGAAUUAAAAUAAUGCUACUAUAUGAGAGGAUUUUUAUUUUUUCCCGAAGUUUCACUAGGAAAUUAUUGAUAUAUAGCUUUAUUCGGAUCAUCUCAGUUCAAACAACAAAUAAUUGAAAGACUAAGCUAAAUAGACCAGCCAACAACUUUGUGCAAGAGAGUUCAAAAAUUAAGGUCAUGGUAUUGAGGUGUUCUGUCUUGAAAAGUACAGCAUAGUGAUAAAAUAAAAACUAUUAAUCUAUGGUAAGGUAUGACUUUUAAAUAAUAAUUUUCACAAAAAUACAAAGAAUAUUUAUAAAGUACUUCUAUAGUGAGGAGAUCCUUACUUUGUUAAAGUAAAAAUAUCAAUAAUAUAAAAAAACAUAUAUUUUAACACAUUAAGAACUGUAUUUUCUUAAUCUAUUGGUGUAUUGAAAUAUGUGUUAUUUAGUUUGUUAGUGACAUCAUCACUUUGUUAAAAUAAAGAUGUCGUCACUAGAGAAUCAUUAUAUAUACAUAUAUAUAAAGUGUUUCUCUCCAAAACCUAGACUUUAUUAAAAUUUAAGAAAGCAAAUAUAUUUUAUAUGGUAUAAUAGUGUAAUAACAUCACACAAUUAUAUCAUAUAGAGUAAUAGUUUUUGGAACUUUAAUAAAGUUCAAGAUUAUAGAAUGAAUGAUUUAUAUAUAUUAUAAUUUUUUUAUCAUAGAGUGGAGGACAAAAUUAACAUAUUUUCUAAAUUAUAAUAAGUAAUUAUCAAAUAAUUUAACAUUGUAUUUCUCCUAACUAGUAUAGUAAAUAUGACCUAGGAGGUACAUUCAAAGCAUUUCAUAAGUUAGUUGUUAAUAAUAAAUGAUACAUGCAGCUCCAAUCAUCAUUGUACGGUGAGUAAUUUCCAGUUAUAAAUAGAUAUUACUCCCUUCUCAGCAAUUUUUUAUGGCUUAAUUUAGUGGGAUCAAAUCAAAAUCAACAUUGAAUAGUCAAAAUAUUAAUGACCAAACAGACCCAGAUAGAAUAAUAUUAAAUGUAGUUAUCUCAAACAAGAUAGAAUAAUAAUUGAUAAGGUAGGUGUAUGAGUGUGUGUGAUGUGUACUCUUUAUGCCAUUGUGUAUAUAUAUAUAUUUGUUUUUUUUUUCUAUUUCGCGUGGUUCCACCAUGCAUAAUUGAAGGGCUUCAAAUUCUUAAACGUUCGGUCACCGAAAUUGAAAUCCCAAUGGAACAAGUAAUUAAGCAUGUUAAUUCAACAAGAUUCACUCCCUUUAUUACUUAAAAGUUAUUUUCGCUUUUGAUAUUGAUACUUAUUUUUACAUUUGCAUGCACUAGGGCAGACGCGAAGCUAAAGGUGGGCUAACCCAGGCAGCAGCCUCGGUUAGCUUUUUGAAAAAAAAUAAUUAAUUAUAAUUUAUAAAUUUAUUUUAUUAAUAUAUAUAAAAAAUAAAAAUAAAUCUAAUAUUUGAUAAUAUUUUUCUUAUUUACAUUGUAUUUUUAUAAUUUUAUGGUUAGAUUUUUAUGUAUAUAGUGUGCUUAAUUUCGUUUAUAUAAAACAAAUUUUUUGAAAAGUAAAUUUCAUUUUUUAAAAAAAUCUAGCCCACCCAAAAAAAUACGCUAGCUUCGCCACUGCACUAGGGACAUAUUAAUCAGGUGGGUUAUAUUACAACCAGAGGAUUUAAAUUUGAUUUAAGAUAUGUGGGGUCUGCUUUUGGAUUUAGAAAAUUUGCCCAUUAAGAGUUGAAACCAAGUGACCUACCGUUAGAUUAGAUUAAUAGUGAUUUCUUGUAGUAAACAUUUGUGAAUUUGAAAUAUGUGAAUUCUAUCCUGGUGAUACAAAACAAGCUUCUUGUACACGAGAACUAUUUGUUUUUAUGAUUUGGAAACCAAUCUAUAAAGAUGAAUUAAGUUGGCAUAAUGGUACAAAGCAACUUUAAUUUUUCAAUAAAUUCAAAAGUUGGCAGGUUGGUUGUGAUUAUUAUCUUUUCUUUUUUACUAUUUAAACUACAAUUAAUUGAAUCCAAAGACUAAAGGGUUGGAUCGAGAAGAAACUAAUUUUAAGUAGACAUUCCGGCGAAAAUCACUCCCAUGAUCGAGACACUCAUGCAAUCAAUACAAAAAAUGGACACAAAAAUUGUCUACUUAAGUUUGGUUGAAUGAUUUUAAAAAUAGUUUUAUUUGUUUCACACUCGAAUUUGUAUUUUGAAAAAGAGUGGGAGUUAAAAAUUGAUUUACACUUUAUCAAUUACUCUAUUUUAAAAAGAAAUAAAUAUUAAAAAAAUAAAAACAUUAAUUUCUUGUUUGUUUGUACUUACCAUUGUAGGAUAAAUAAAGUGGUUGACAAAAAUUAGAUAUCUUAAAAAUAAAUUCUAAAUUUAUAACUAAUGUAUAAUGAUUUCAAUUCACAUGUUUCAAUCCCAAAUAAAUUCUCCUUUGGUUAUUUGAAUCUUAGCACGGUAAGAUUUCAUUCUCUUGUAUGCAUUUGUGUAAACUUCUCCCUUUACCUUUAUCAUUUUAUCAACUGUAUUGAUUGCCAAACAACUUUAGGGUUUAGGCAUGAAUCACACAAGGGAAUGAUAUUGUGGCAAUUUUUUCCCCCUUCUUUCUUCUUUUUGAAAAAAAAAAUUAAUUAUAGCUUUGCUUUGAUGGGUAGAAGACUAGAAGACCAAUUAAUUUCUUUUUGUUGCGUGGUGAUAAUAAUGGUGAAAAUUGCUAUGUGCGUGUUGGUGAUUGCAUUGCUAAUCACAUAUUGCUUCCCAUCAUGGAGACAAAGGGGACCCCUCUAUCAAAGCUAGCUGUUGAAAUAUCAUACCCAAAAUCACAUGAAUUCAAAGGUUGAAUGGGAAAACGAUCUUGCUUCUUUGUAUGUUUUAUUUUAUUUAAAGACUUAUUUUUCCCAUAAGAGAUAAGCUUGGAUCUAUCUUUCCUUUUAAUCAUUUUAGCCUCCAACUCCCAUCUUUUUCAAAAGUUUCGUUUAGCCCAUUUUGAAUGGCAAGGUAAGCUUCAAUCAACGCUACAAGUUCUAGUGAUUCCCGUCAAUAUUCGAUUGCAUGUAUGUAGCUUUGAAUGCUCAAAUUUAUUUUAUUUAUUAGUUGUUAUCACUUAUCAUUUUCUUUUUAAUAAUGAGAUUUGGGCAUUUUCUUUUUAAUAAUGAGAUUUGGGUCCCUAGAUGGUGAUUAGCCAACAGUCUAGUUAUGAGAAAUUAAUGUCUUAAUUACAAUGACAAAAAAAGGCAAGUGGGGAUCUCAUUUGCCAUUAGGUAACACAACAUCUUCAGCAUUGGAGCUUUUCUUCCUUUCUCUCCUUCUUUCUUUCUUUCUCAAAAUAAUUGAAAAUCUAAUGCAAUACAAUUAAAUUGAUCAACGAUCUAAUUUAAUCAAUACAUUAUAUUAAGAUAUUUAAAAUAAAAUCGGUUCAAAUGGAAUGAGAAAUUCUACUCACAAAAUAACAACAUUUAUUCCCGAAUUCAAAUAACCUUGGAUUCCAAAUGCAUUCAAGACUAGCCAGGCUGCAUAUCCAAGAAGAAAACAAAAUCAAAACUUUAGCCACAAACAUAUACGUGUGUGUGUAUGUGUGUGUGUAUAUAUGUGUGUGUGUGUCUGUGUAUAUAGAGAGAGAGAGAGUUCUUUCACUAGGUUCAUUUGCGUGAAACUUUUUGAUCAUUUAGGUUUAAGACUAUAUCAUAUAUCCUAUUGCAUGAACAUUGAUUAAUAUGAAUGAGUCAAACCCACUAAGCUUGUAACAAAAUCUUUUCAUAGUUACUAGAGAAUAUUUAUAUUUUUUUCAAACAUUAAUAAAAUUAUUGAAUUGCUUUAUUUAUAGUAUGUAUACAAUUAAUAGUGUAUGGAUUUUUUUAUCUAUUGGUAUAUUGAAAUAUGUGUUAUUUAGUUUGUUAGUGAUAUCAUCACUUUGUUAAAAUGAGAAUGUCCUUACUAGAGAAUCAUUAUAUAUACAUAUAUAAAGUGCUUGUGCUUCUAUCCAAGACCUAGAUUUUAUUAAAAUUUAAUAAAGCAAAUAUAUUUUAUAUGGUAUAAUAGUGUAAUAACAUCACACUAUUAUAUCAUAUAGAGUAAUAGUUUUUCGAUUUUUUUAAAGUUCAAGAUUAUAGAAUGAAUGAUUUAUAUAAAUUAUAAUUUUUUUAUCAUAAAUGGAGGCGAAAAUUAACAUAUUUUCAAAUUAUAAUAAGUAUUUAUCAAAUAAUUUAACAUUGUAAUUUCUCCUAACUAGUAUAGUAAAUAAUAUGACCUAGGAGGUACAUUCAAAGCAUUUCAUAAGUUAGUUGUUAAUAAUAAAUGAUAUAUGCAGCUCCAAUUAAUCAUCAUUGUACGGUGAGUAAUUUCCAGUUAUAAAUAGAUAUUACUCCCUUCCCAGCAAUUUUUGAUGGCUUAAUUUUGUGGGAUCAAAAUCAACAUUGAAUGUCAAAAUAUUAAUGGCCAAACAGACCAGCUGCCAACAACUUAUUCCAAUGUGAGUAGUUCACAGUGGGUACUGCACAUGAUGCUUGUUUCUCCUUUUGCAUCUAUUUUUGUUGUUAACAUUAAUUUCAAUAGCAGCUCUUUAAUCCCAAUUGUUGAUUUGGGACUAGAUAAGAAUUUAUCUUGGAACUCCAAUUCUCCCAAUUAUUUUAGUUGACAAUAUGUUUAACAUUAUUUUUUUAACAUUAUUAAUUACAUAUUAUUUAAUUAUCAGUAUAUAAUAUUCUUUAAUUUUCUAAUUUUAUAGGAUUAGACACAAAAUUGAUUAUGCCUUUUGAAAUUUAAGGGUUAUGUCAAUUGAAUAGAAAACUUGGAGUUAAACUUGUGGAUGUUUUUGUUGAUUAUCAAUUUAUGCAUGAAUUUUUGUACGUUUAUUUGGCUUAUUAUUAUUACUUUUAAACAUUUUUAUUGGUUUGAUUUAGGGUCAGUUUGGUAAUUCUAUAGCUUUUAAAAUAAUUACAGUUAGCUAUGCUGUAGAAAUUGAUCAAUCGUCAAGAGAAUCAGCUGAACAUUUAGUAAAAUUUAUUUUUAAAAGUACUUUUAGUUUUAAAAGCGUCGCAUGUGUUUCGUAAGUUAUAUACAUUGCUGAUUCUAUAUUAAUAAUGUUAUGUUCUAUUUUCAGAAAUUAUAAUACAAAAGUUUUUACAAUGGCGUGCAUCUACAAACUGAAUUGACUUGUAGAAUAAGAGCUUGGAGUAGUGUUAUGUUCUUGAAUAAAUGAAAGUUCAUAUGGUGUAAGAGCAUGUAGAUGUAAAGUGUCAUUACCAUUUCUAUAAAGGACUUUCAUUCUGUUCGGAUGCUCCUCUUGAACUCUGAAGGGUGCUUCAUUCAUAACACACAUAAUUUAUGCCAGGGAAGAGAAGAUGCCAAAAAAGUUGAAGGUGAUCAUUCAUAACUUUUCAGAAAGUUGUUGCAAAACAGAAAUCACCCAUCACGAUCGGUCGUACAAGUGUCUGCUACGAGUGCAGCAAAACGUUUGUCACGCUAGUUGUGCUAAAUGGACCUCUCCUGUGUGCCUCUAAAAUCAAUGCAUGUGAUCAUGUCGGUGAUUCAAUGGCUGGUGGGGAUGAGUCCACUCAAAUUCUGAAACUAAUCAGGUGAAAUAUAAACCCUUUUUGUCUCCUUCUUUAAUUGUAUGUUUUACUAUCCAUGUUUUACCCAAAAAAAUUGUAGGUUUACACUUUGCAAUCAAAUUUUGUAGUUGUGCUUUUUUCUUGCUUUUAUCCUAAUAAGCAAAAAAUCUAAUUAAUCCUAAUUAAAGGUGUUUUAAAAUUUAAAUAGAGAAAGUACCAUUGAGAUUUGAGAGAAAAUGAAUCGAUUGAUUUACUUCACAGUAUGAAUACACAGAGAGUUCGCUUGCUUUAUAUGCAGUAAUCUAACCAACUUGUUAACUAAGCUACUAUUCCCAGCAAAUCAAGCUAACCAAUCCCACUACUCAGCUUGUCUACUACAGAUCACAGAACCACUUGGGCUGAGCCGUAAUUCCAUGUCAUCAGUCUGUGCAACAACCUCAUUGAUCACUUGUUGUGCUGACUAUCGAACAACAGUGUGCCUCUUUAACAUAAUAGACUAAGCUCGUAUGCAUAGGAAUGGAUCUUUUAUUAUUGUCAUUAACUAUCUGUCCCUAAGGGUUUGGUUGAGUGAUUUAUUCCUUUAGUUGGCCCUCCCAAUCUUUUGGAUUGUUAUUGUCAUUAAAUAUCGGUCCCUAACUGCGUGAUGUAAGUACUUUCUAGAAGAUAUCUAAAUGGUAAAGCGACAUUACCAUUUCUAUAAAGGACUUUCAUUCUGUUCAGAUGCUCCUCUUGAACUCUGUAAUUCAGAUCCUAGCUAUAACUACUAGCUUUGAUUAAUUAAUUUCCUGUACUAGCUGAAACAGAUUUAUUUAUUUAAAUAAUUGUGUAUGUACUAAUUAUAAUGAAAGUAUAUGAAGAAAUUUUUUAACAUGAAUGACUUCUAAAUGACUUAAAAACCUAAACAAAUAAUGCUCAUUUCACUUGAACGAGCCUAUUAAUACUUGUAUGUCUAUGAUUUUUAAUAUUGGCUUAAGCGUUUCAGUUAAAUGGUUUACAUAAGAGGGAAAAAAAUUUAAUGGAAAACUUUAGAGUUCUAACAGAAAUAUAAUUGACUAUGCAGAUAUAGUUAUUUUAUGGUAUACAAAUCAUGUUGCCUUAAUCUCAAUGUCCUAUGACCUAUUUUAUUUUAUAUAGUCAUUCCUUUUGGCCAUGGCUUUUUGUUUUUAUGAGUACGGAAAUAGUGGGAUUUGGUGUAUCUUAGCAUCUUUGGAAAAUUCUCUUUAAAUGUGGCAAACAAAAAUAUACAUAUAAUCAAGUUUCUUAAUCAACUAUCAUAACUGGCUAGCUAGUUCUUGCCUGCCUUGCUGCCAUUACCCAGGCCAUUACAUUGCAUAGCAUAAGGAAUAGUGAUUAGGUGAUUAUUAGUGACUCGUUGAGCUUAUUAUUGACCAAACAAAUAUAUUUGCCUUUACCCACAACUUAGUUUGAUUAGUUAUUAGACCAUAAAGAGCGUAAAUCUGUUCAUUGGCUUUGUUAUUUUUGUUUGGUUUUUCUUUCAACAAUACUGUUAAUUUCUUAUAAAAAUAUUCAUUGGUUUUUAAACACCUAAUCAUUGGCUAUAAUGAAGCUAAUUGAAACUGAGGCUUUGGAUCAAUUCCUUCUGGCAAGAUACAAAUGAGCAUAACCUAUAUCCUCUAAGUAAAUUUUUCUAAUAUGCUUGAUUUGUUAGUAUCCGGAGGCUUGAAUCCUCUAGAUUUUUUUAACACUGUCAAUGUUCUUUUUACUCUGAAAAGGGAAAAAAAAGGUUAUAUCUUUCAUACCCUAAUAAUAAGUUGUCCUUGACUUAACAUGCCUUCCUGAGGAUUUGCAAGAUUCACAAGCAGCUCAACAACACCCCCCCCCAAAAAAAAGCAAAUACGAAGAUUUUGCAAGAUUCACAACCAGGUUAUAUUUAAUUUAUUAAUUGUGUGCACGUACUAGUUAUAUGUUGAAAGAAUAGGAAAAAGUAUUUUAACAUGAAUGACUUAAAACUUAUUGCUCAGUAAACUUAAUCUGCAUCAGUGCUAGAUAAUGUAUUUAUUGUUUGUAUUUUUUAUGGAUUUGCUUAAGAAAUGAUAUGCGAAAUAAUGCUAUAUUGUAUUAGGAAUAAAUUGAAGAGAUUUAUGAUAUUUAUGUGUUUUUAAAUUUCAGAUUGAAUUUUAAACUUUCAAUACAUGCAUUGAAAGCUUAGAUCGUUUAAGAAAUUAUUAAUAGACACAUGUUUUAUUAGUGUCAUCUUUGGAUGAUAGCGAGGAUCAUAUGUCUAUUAAUAAUUCUUGAAUUGUCUAGGCUUGAACUGUUUGGGAAUGCAUAGUUUUCUACGGUGGCUAGUAGCUGAAGUUUUUUUCCCACGUAAAAAUGGGUUUUUCGCUAGCUACUUCUCAUCUUCUUUGGGUGCAUACUAGAUAACACAUACACACUCAUAUAUCUAUGUCGUGUGCUAGGAGAACUAUUGGGAGAUGCUGCCGAAAUUCCUAUAAACGUAGAAGAAAACUUUAAAGUACUUGAGAUUGAAGAGACUUAUGCAUUCUUGAGAGGGAUAUAUGGGACCACUUACCUUUUGUAAAUAUGAAGGGAGUGUUGGACAUAUUGAUGGGAGUGAAGGAGCUGAGUUGGAUGGAUGUAAUUGGUUAUGGUUUUGCUGAGUUAACUUGGUUUUGACCUAGUAGUUUUGUUUAUAAAUGGAGUACUAUCUCCAAUGUUGGUUUAUAAAUAUGUUUCAGCUGGCUGACCUAAUUUUUUGUUUCUAGGUAACAGGCUUUAUAUCUGUAAUUGAUAGCCAACCGAAGUUCUCAGCUGUGGGUGAGGAUAUUUCUUUACAGAAGGUAUUG